Molecule: long non-coding RNA, 63080 nt
Filed under: Lactuca sativa (garden lettuce)
Lineage: Eukaryota; Viridiplantae; Streptophyta; Magnoliopsida; Asterales; Asteraceae
Description: long non-coding RNA (LSAT_LNC004966)
Source: RNAcentral
GAUCAUAGGUGUCUAUUACAGACAUCUUUUGGGAGAUAUUCAAGAUAGUUGAUUUAAAGUCCUUAAUAUGACACCCAAUAUGAAAUAUUAAGGCUAGGACCCAACAAACUAUUUUAUAACUUAGAAGAGGUAUGCCGUAAUCCAAGCUAUAAAAUAUUUGAAGGUAGGUGAAUGACGAUUCACCAAUUUCCACCAAGAUAAACGAAAUGUAUUAUUAGGUUUUAAUUGGUUUUGAAACUCCUAGAUCUUUGAGAUUCAUUGAACUGUUCAAAGGCAUGUUUCAAUCUCGAGUGUGCCCUUCAGGUUUUGUGACUGGGAUGCCGAGGAUCACAAAACAAGGUGUGAAGUAACCAUGCAAAUCACUUGGUACCCUUAAUAAAUUACCCCUCAAUCGAUGUGCCGGUUAACCACACACGCUCCAUCGAUACUAUGAUAAAUAUUAAGUCACCCUUUACCUACCUUGUUAAGUCCAAGUUAGUGUGCCGGUUAACCACACACGCUCCACUAACGACUUAGACAAAGUGUAAAGUGUAAUUUCAUGGAUUAGCACCUUAUUCACAUUUUUCCUAAGUAACUAAGAUUGGGUAUUAUUAAGAGUUUAGUUACUUAGUAUUAUCAUUAAUACUUUUAAUGAAGGGAGAAUUCUAGUCCUGUCAAACCCGUUCGGCUAACGACCCUCCACCAGUCAAGCAAGCGGUGGGUGAGAGUGGACACCCAUUAAGUUGCCAUUUUAUAGGCAACAACCUUAUACCCACCUUAUAGACCGGCUUCGUGAAUGAGGCGUACUAGCGGUAAGACUGACUUUACUCUUAUACAUAUAUAUAUUAUUAACUUAUAAUAUUAUAAAGUAUAAGGGUUGAAUUUUAACUUUUAAAAUUCUAAGGGCUAACUUGGAAUUAAAGUAUUCAUAAGUGAAAACUUUACAAAUUCCAAAACUUGAGGGCAAGUUUUGAAACUAUUCAAAACUAAUUAAUUCCAUAACUUAUGUGUUUAAAGUAGUUUUAAUCCAAAAACUCUUCAAGUUCCAUAACUUGAGGACAAGUUAUGGAAGACUUUAAACUAAUAAAAGAAUUAACUUUUCUUUAUUUUAUAACUUAUGGAAUUAAUUAAGGUUACACUUUUUUUUUUUUUAUUUUAUUUUAUUAAAUGAAGAGACUCUUGGUCCUCCAUAACUUGAGGACAAGUUAUGGAGUCAUAAAACCAUUUAAUUAGAACUAGACUCUUCAUUUUUGUAACCUUUGCCAAUUUUUAUGAGUUUUAUGAUUCUUAAAUGUGACUUUUCAUAUAACUUGAGGACAAGUUACAAAAACACAUUUUAGAAUCAAUUCUUAGAUUAAUUUGGAUUAAAACCAACUAUCACAUAAUUUUAUUCAUUAAUCUAAAUUCACUCAUAAAACAAGGUAACACAAAAAACUUUUGGUGAUCCAUAACUUAUUCUUAAGUUAUGGAAUCCUUUAAAACAUUAACACCAAAUUUUGUAACUCCAAAAAAACUUUGAAUCAAUUUUUUUUUUAAAACCUUUUCAUAUCCAUAACUUAUGGAGGUUUCAAAAAAUAAAACUCUUUAGAUCAAACUUUUAAAACUAAUAAAAUAAUCAUAUUAUUUUAUCUUUUAUUAAAUUUGACCUAAUUCAACUCAUAAAGCAAAUUAUUCAAAUUUUACAAAUAAUUAGUUUUUCACAAGAACAAGUAAUUAUCUUAAAAUUUGACAAACUUCAUGUUUUUUUUUUUUUUUUUUUUCAACUUUGAAAAUAAAAUAUUUGCAUCAAUAUAACAGAAAACAACCCGUGGCUCUGAUACCACUGUUGGGUUUUGAGCAUUCUAACACUUCCUAAGUGUACAUGCAACCCUAAAUACCUUGGAUCUAUGUUUUCUCUAUUAUACAUGCAAAUAAGAACAUCCAAGGUAUUAUCCUAAUCUAGCAUACAAAAACUAUGAAUGUAACAAGAUAGAAUACAUACCUCUUGAUGUAGCUUGAUGUCUUCAAGCUUUAAGAGCUUAGCCCCAAUAGUGUGGAAGCCUCAAGUGGAAUCACAAAUCACCAAGACACCUUGGAAUACUUUAGAGAAUAUGAUUACUUGGUUCUCUCUAGUGAAAUUGGCUAGCCCUUCUUUAGUGUAUCCACACUAGUGCCAAUUUCACCAACCAAAGACAUCUUUAUAUAGUAUGGAGGAUUAGGGUUAAACCCUAAUACCCAUGACCUUUCAUUUCCUAGGAUCCAUGGGUUAAACACUCCAUGGACUAUCCAUGAAAGCUUAGCCCAACCUAAAUGAACUUGGCCCAUUCCAUAUAUAUAAGAGUCCAUAUUUAAUUAGUUCCUUUUGAUCACUUAAUUAAUUAUAAAUUAAUUCUUGAUCAAUACUAAUUAAAUAAUAUGAUUCCAUAUUAAUAUAUUAGAACUUAUAAUAUAUUAAUAUUAAUCAUAAACAUACUAUUCUCAAAAGAUUAUCCAUAUAAAUUGUGUCGGUGAAGUGCAACCCAAAUGGACCAUGCCGGGGCGGAUCAAGUACAUACCAAAUAUAGUUAUGGACUUAGACAUUAAUCCAACAGAACAUUCGUGUGAAUCCAGUCUCAAAUCAAGGAGAGUUUUCAAAAGAGAAUUUAAAAUGGUUUUCAAAAUGAGUAAAGGAGGACGCGGAGGUAUGAUCAGCCGGAGCCAGUAAGUAGCCCCAAAAUACCAUACAUGAUAAUUGUUUUUGAGCUUUGAUUGAACAACAUGCUAGUACUAGGCUAGGGAUCUUCAGGAUUUCAUGAUAAUGUUGCCUGAUUUAUGAUGCCUGCUAGCCUAGGGUUCUUCUGUAGGAGAUUUCCGGUGUUCCCCUAGGAGUGAGGGUUGAGUGCUUGUUAUGUAUGUUUUUCACAAGGGUGUUGUGGUAAUACUUGAUACAAAUAUGGGUAGGUGUGGAAGGUAGUAUGGUCCCGUACUACUGAAAGCACAGGACCCAUACACGUAUCAAAGAAACCAUAACCUCUAGGGNCUAUUGAAAGCACAGGACCCAUAUGCGUAUCAAAUAAGCCACAACCUCUAGGGUUGGUUUGGGGGUUGGUUCCCGGGUUAGUGGGAAGUAUCUGAGAUCUUGCGAUGUUUUUUAGUAUGGUGGUUACGAGGCAUGCUGGGAGUGGAUCUGGGCCAGGAUCGGGAGCAGGAGAGGGCGGUCAUGGUGGGUCAGUACCGCCCGAGGUUAUUGGUCAGAUGAGCACAGACGAGUUGGAUGCUAGGGUUCGUGAGAUCCUACAUAAGGAGGUUGAUGUGUUGUUCCGGGCCGAGUUGCCAGAACUGUUUGGGUCAAUUAAGACCGCCAUGAUUGAGUAUUUUGAUGAGCGCUAUGUAGCUCUCACAGAGAUGGCUGCCGCGGCGGCUAUCACGGCUGUAGCAGCGGCAGGGGGAGGAGUCGGGCGAGGUUUUCAGUAUCAGGACUUCGAUAAUAAGAAGCCCCUACCUUCGAUGGGUUUCAGAACCCGAUUGUUGCUAUAAGAUGGUUUUCGGACAUGGAGGGGUGUUUCUUCAUGUGUUCAUGCCCUGCUGAUCAGAGAGUGAGGUGUGCUCCGAACCUGUUGAGGCUCGGGGUGAAGGAUUGGUGGAGAUGACCACGGGGUCGUAUUCGGAUGUGUAGAGGGAUGCGGUUUCAUGGGAUCAGUUCCGGGAGAUGUUUAGCACUCGUUAUGUUCCGCGGGUUGAGAGAGAGAGGUUGGCUCAGGAGUUCCUGGAGCUGAAGCAGGAUUCAGUGUAGGUGACGGAGAUCACCAGGAUGUUCACUGAGAGGGCGAUGUGUUUCCAUGAGUUCACUUCGGAGCAGGCUCAGAUGUCCCGAUAUCUGAGUAUGCUCAAAAGGGAUAUCGGGCAGUUUGUUUCUACGCAGAGGUGUGAGACCUUGUUAGAGUUGCUAGAGGCCGCCAGGCGGCGUGAGUUGGAGAUUAAGUUGCAGUUGAGAGAGCAGAGGCAGGCCCCGGCACAGUCGCAGUCGGCGUCAAAACGGUCCAAGACCAUUGAUUCUUGAUUGGGAGAUCAGAGCAGCCGCACUUGUGGAAAGUGUGGGAAGGGUCACACCGGAGUUUAUAGGUCCGAUGGUGCUUGCCGCAAGUACGGAAAGGAGGGGCACUAUGCAAGGGAUUGUCGGCAGACAGCCCUGGUUUGGGACUUGAGGAUUUGUUAUCAUUUCCAUCAGGUUGGACACUUGAGGGUCAAUUGUCCACAACUUGCUGCAGGACCGGUGCAGGCUCCAGCACCGGCCACUUUGAGGAUUAUGGGUGGAGGUCAGGGUGGAGCGGAGCCCCCAAGGGCUCAGGGUAGUGCUUUUCCGCUUACAGCAGAGGAGCUCAGGGCAGUGCCAGAUGCAGCUGCGGGUAUGUUCUUUCUUGAUGUCUUGUUAUCUUGUGAUUAUUAUGGAGUAUUGUAUAUUUGCUAGGCUCGUUGUAUGAUUUUUUGGUAUCGUAUUCGUUGUUCCUUGAGGGUUAUGGUAUGGUUAUGGGUUUGGUGUUGGGAGUUUCGUUGGUUAUCAUUCGUGAGUAUUAUUAGUGGGAAAUCUGGCUUUUGGUCUGAAUGUCGGGUAGCAUCUGCAGUCUGAGGAGUGGUUAGCUGAAGGUCGGGUUUCUUUCUAGCCUGAGAUGAUCAGUGUUGUUAUGUAAUUUUGUGAAGGUUGCUCGUUCUAGUGGGAAUCAGUUUGCGUGUGAGGGUUUUUAUUGUGUAGGGUUGUCGAGGGAGGUCGGUGAUGGCGACCGGUGGUUGAUAGUCAGUGCUCUAAGUGGGGGAGAAUUGGAAAUUCUCUGGGAGAUCGAUAAGCAUGAGAGGUUGUCUCGCUGUUGGGAAUCAACAGUGGUUCUGUCAGCUGAGCGUAGGCUGGUUUGAGUGAGUGUCAGACAGAUGGGGCGGGAUGCAGACCAAGAGUGAUUGAUUGUGGAAGGCCUGGAGUUGGGCCGGGAUUGAGUAUGUAGAAUGGAGAUAGAGUUCGGAGCCCCUAGAGGGCUAGAACAGUAUACAUGGGAGAGUUUCCUGGAGGGAUAAUUCGGGAUGUUGGAUGCUAGUUGAGCGGUCCGGAUAGACUGAAGGCCAGUGGGCGUACCAGUCAGGCCGAAGGCUCGGAGGACGGUCCAGACAGGCUGAAGGCCCUGUAGGGCGGUCAAGACCUACUGAAGGUUCUGAGAGUGGUCCAGAUGGGCUGAAGGCCUGGCAAGGCGGUCCAGUCAUGUUGAAGACUAUGUAUGUGUUGAUAGAUCUGUAUGAGGAUAUGGAAUGAGUAUGUCGUGAUGUGAUAGCAUCAGAAGGCUUGGCCCCGGGUUUUGAUCAUGAGUAGUGGAGGUAGUGCAUGGACUCGAGAGUCCCUGCGAGCGGAUGCAGAGCAUGCGUGGUGCAUGAGAUAGCAGUUAUGCUAUAAGGAAAUGGUGUAGUAUUGGGUGAGCACGGUGACACUUGUGGUAGUGUCAAGGCAGCCGAGUGGAUUUCCUUGGUAAGGAAAGGGAAAUGAAUGUAGCUCCGAGAGGGAGUGUAAGUUCACAGAAGUGAAAGCAGUAGUGCGGAGUUAUGAUUGGGGUGUUCGCAAUUAUGGUUAUUGAUCAGUGUGUUCCGGCGGUGGUUUGGAAUCACAUCCGGGUUGGAUGUUUGCUAAGGUCGCGGAAGGAAUUCCGCGGGUGUAGAGCCAAGAGGCUCGGAAAGGAUGCUUGGAUGGAAUCUUGCAUUCCCGGUUUGAUUUUGACCGAGGAAUUAUGUAUGGGGUGGAAAUUCAUCCUGAGGGAUGUUUGGAGGUGUCAUCAGUGUAUCGGGUUUUCCCAACCCGAGGAUGCUAGAGCCAGUUCAACAUGGGUAUGAGAUUGCGGAGGACAACUCAUGGGAGUUGCUCUGAGACUGAAGGAUGUGUCAUCCUGUCAGCAUGGAGUGGAUAAAGUUGGACUUAGACCGGGAUUCCAGUGAUUCAGGGUUAUUUCUAGCUCGUAUGAGUCAAUUUAUUGUUAUGAUUUGGAGCGAGUGAAGUAUCAUGGAGUGGUACUCGGUUGAUAAGUGUGCUUAUCAGAGGAUGAGGCCGCCGGCCGGCUUGAAGCAGUGGUCAGAACACCGCGGGAGGGAAAGUUGGGUUUUGGUUUUCGGUGGUUGUGUUUUGUGGACCUGGUCUGGUUAAUUCCAGGUGGUGCAUUGCGAGAGUAGUUAUGGAGUUGUGUUGCCGCAGGCUUCGAGGAUGAAGCCUAAUUUAAGUGGGGGAGAAUUGUAACAUCCCGAGUUCAGGAGUGCAAGUUCAGGGUUCAAAGUGUAAAUGUGAAAGGGCAACACGGCGAGUCCAUGAGUGGACUCGGCGAGUAGUGUCGCGAUUCUGGUCGCGUGUUUAGUGGCCAACUCGGCGAGUCGGCGGCUGGACUCGGCGAGUUAGUGCUGUGUCGAGAAAACCCUAAUUUCGGAGGAUGAGCCCUAUUUAAAGGACAUUAUACCCUCUCCCCAGCCUCUUUACUCUUCCUUAAAGNAGUGAGCGUUGGGGCCUUGAAAGAGUGUUGGUGGAAGAGAUUUUUGAAGGCUAAGAGGCUUGGAGCAAGGGGCUUUGCAAGGAUUCAGAUUUAUCUUCUGUUGGAGCCUUCUUUUGAGGUAUUAUUUCGUUGCUUGGGCUGUUAUUCAGCUAGAUUCAACAUUUUGGUUUAUUUGGAAAGAAUAACUUGUGAUAUUUUAAGCUUGGAGGUUAGAUCUGAGGUUGCUACCUCAGAUCUGGAAUGGAGAAGGUCUAGAGUGCAUUAAAGUCCCUGUUCUUGAGUGAUUGGUGAAGCCAUCUUGUCCCAAACCCUAACCCUAGAGUGAUAUAUGCUUAGAUCUCUUUGGAUUCACGUAAGGUUUGCUACUUUAUGUGAUGGAUGGGUUGUAAAAGGGUAGAUCUAUGGUUUGGAUCAUCUGCAUGGCCUGGAAAGCUUCUGUAUGGAUUAAGAUCUAGGGGUACUCGGCGAGUCACAAGGAUGUACUCGGCGAGUUGCUUGAAGGUGGGCAGAAACUCGACGAGUUGGAAGAACAACUCGGCGAGUUGGUUGAAGAUAGCCUUGGACUCAGCGAGUUUGUUCUUGGACUCGGCGAGUCUGGUCAUGAGGUCCUAACCUUCUUCUGGUUGAGCCGUGAAUCGGUGAGUCAAGGGAGGACUCGGUGAGUUGAGUGCGAGGGGACUCAGAGUUGUGGGACUCGGCGAGUCUCGGGGUGACUCGGCGAGUUGAGUCGCGGAUUGGGAAAGUUCUGAGCAUGGGGACUCGACGAGUCAUCGGGUUGACUCGGCGAGUAGAGUCAGUCAGGAGGUUGACUUUGACUUUGACUUUGACCAAGGGUUGACCAGUUGACUUCCAGGGGCAUUUUGGUAAUUGUUGGCAUUUGUUUUGAGUUCAGUGUUGGUGUUGGCUAGUGGUGGAGAUUGUGUCAGUGGUCGGAGCAUCUUGGUCUUAUCUUUUCAGUCGGCAGUUGCGAGGUGAGUUAGCCUCACUAUAUCGAUAGGUUCUACGGCACCAAGGCCGACCCUUUAUCGGAUUGUGAUACGGGUAUCGUUGUUUUGUUUUUCUUUGCUAUGUUUUCAUCCGGUAGUUAGGAUGGUAUAUGUUAGAGACCUGGUUAAGGUCGGUAUCCUGGUAUAUAGGAUGAUGCUAUGCUACUGACCGGUUAGGUCGGUAUCCUGGUUAGGAUGAUCUUAUGCUAUGUGAUCUGUUAGAUCGGUUUGAUUGGAUGUGAUUUAUUAUAUGAUUGAAUGUUUAUGUGAACAUGGUUGUUGGAUUGGGGUUGGGUUGAGGCGGGUCCUGCUUUUUGCUGUAGGCCAACAUACCCUGGGCAGACUGGUUAUCCCGAAGGCCCAGCGAGCGGUUCGGAUAGGCUUGCAGGCCCCAAGACGGCGGACCAGACGUGCCGAGGCUCGGAGAGUGGACCAGGCCGACUGAAGGCCUAGUGCGGGCGGACUAGUUAUACUGUAGAAUCAUAGAGUGGACCAGGUGGAUUGAAGGCCCGGUGCGGGCAUACCAAUCACACUGUAGACUUGAUGUAUGUGGCUAGACUCGGGGGGUGGGCCAGGGGGCUGAAGGGCGNGUGUGGACCAGGUGGACUGAAGGCCGGUGCGGCGGACCAGUCACACAGUAGACCCGAAGUGCAUGGCUGUUCUGUGUUCUGCUAUGAUAUGAGAUCUUGUGCGUGUAUGGUAUAUGUGGUUGGUAUUUUGGGGGCAUCUCACUAAGCUUUCGGGCUUACAGUUGUGGUUUAAUGUUUUUCAGGUUCUUUAGGAGACCGUGGCAAGGCAAAGGCGUGAUCAUACCGCUCCUCAUGAUUUUGUUUUAUGAUGUGGUUAUGGGAAGACUCUGAUAAUAAUUAUAUUGAAAACCUUUUUGUAAUAACUUAAUGAAACCGGGUUGUUUUUGAAAAGUUUAAAUUGGUUGAAUUUUUAGAGCGUUACAGACAUUCUAGUGGAACACUAGCAGGCUCACAACGUGUAGGUGUUGUGAACGAUGUGUUCACCCGUUGUACUCUAUAAACCCAUUGACAGGUAUUCUGAAUGGACUCUCGAAAACGAUACUGUCAAUUAACGAGAUAAACCUUGGAGACUAUGCAGACUUAGUACCGAUUCCUUAGGAUACUCCUUAGGAAUGAAUGAACAAAGAAUAGUUGAAUCUUAGGGUAGAUCCUUAAGAGUAAAGAAGAUAACAGGGAUGAGUAAUUGUGUUGGUUAUUUGAUGUUUACCAUAAUAAUUAUAUUAUUGUGGGCUGAAAACCCUAUGUACUCAUCGGGUUUCCCAACCUGACCCAGUGAAGCUUAUUUGUAUAUGAAGCUACUUAACGCUGAGGGAUUUAAAAGAGAUGCAGAUCACUAGUGUAAAUGAAUGUAAGUUCUGUUUAUGCUUAUGUUUUUGUAUUGACGAUGACAUGCCAAAUGUUUUAAAAUGGAUAAAAAUACAUUUUCUUCAGAAAUGCUUUGAUAACGUAUUUAUCAUGUUUUUUGGGAACAAAUUCCACAACAUUUUUAUUAAAAGAGGUACUCUGAUUUUUAUAAAGCAUAAACAAAAUCGGUCUUUUCUAGCCGUGAAAAUGGGGAUGUCAUAGUUGGUAUCAGAGCAUUAGUUUAAUCGAACUAGGAAUAAGGAUUUAUUUCUAGACUUAAACUUAGAAUGAUACGUGAUGAUCGUGAGGAGUGUGUCUAAUAUAUUUUAGGUAGUACACCUGAAUAGACACAAGCACUAGCUCAUUAAGGAUGCCUAAAUUGCUUUGAUGUGCUAAAUGAUUUGUGAUGCUUUAUGAUGCGAUCGCUUGAUCGGAUCUAUGGUCUGUUGCCGACCGGAUCUGGAAACUUUAUGUGUUCAGAUUUCUAAACGUUAGUUACGAUAUUAGAACUAGCAUGUACUUUUUCAAAGUAAUAAGGAGGAAUACACGUCUAAACUUCCUCUAUCUAUAUUUUUGUCUCGACAAACCAAACGAGUGCUUUGGUGUGCAAAAAAUCUUGGUGAAGACUCAUAGUGAAUUGAAUAAAUGGAGGAAAUGAGAAGACUUACGAUACCGAGUGGUACCAAUCUGAAGAUAUCGUAAGAGUGAUAUCUUGCCUUUAGAAUGCGUCUAAGAAAUAAUACGUCUUGUACCAGAUUAUUACACUUUCGAUUUGCAGAAAGAAAGAUUUUUUGUAUAAUCCAUGAAGUUAUCCCAUCGUCUGAAAUUUCCAUCACCAACCGAGUUGAAGCAGAAUUGAUGAUCGAAGAUACGCAUGGAAGAAGUCCUAGUAGAGUCUAGGGAAAAUUAUAUGAUUGUUUGGACACAUUUGUAUGUGUUAAAAUUGUUUUUGUGAAAAUAAUUUCGAGAACUGGGAGACAAUAUUUGGGACGAGUAUGAGUAGGUGUGAAAGGUAGUAGAGGCCUAUACUACCGGAAGCACAUGACUCACACUUGGAUCAGGGAAAGUCACAAGGUUACCAAGGCGCUAGUAAUUGAUUUUGUUUUGUUCAUAUAUGUUGUUACCAUCGUUUCGGUAAUGAAGAAGAAGAUGAUUGUUAAUCCGACCCUAGUGGUCACAUCAAAUUGAGUUCGACUAAGAUGAGUAUGUUAUGUGGUUCAAAGAACCAAGAUCGAUGUAGCAUCUGACUUAAGUCAGAAGAUUGGAAUGAAAGAUAAUCGAAGCGAUCAAUAGAAGUAUCGCAACCAUUGUUAAGGUUAGAAGCUUGUACCUAGAAGUGCUACAUGCUAGAAUGUGAUUAUAUCACAUUAGAACAUGAAUGAAGGUAUAUUCCGUUUUCGAAUGUAACUCUAAAAGACCUGAUUCUAAGCGUUGCAUCAUACGACGAGAUGUCAUUAGAACAUGCCCCAUCAGUCUGUUACGGUAAUCAAAGUAAAGACUGUUUCCGAAGGAGCAAGGGUCUCCAAUAAGGAUCGAGAUUGUGACUUAAAGGUCGUGAUUGAAAGUCCAACGUGAGAUAGAGAGCAGGUGCAAGAUCGAGCACCGCCUGCAGUCUAAAUGUCCAAAAGUUAUAUACUCAUUCGAAGGAACAUAGUAGUUACGGUUAUUACCUAGGAUGGAAAUAUAACAUAUGGAGUCAAUAUACAAGCCCUAUUUCAUUGAUGAUUCUAAGAUGUAAUCAUCCUACGGGGGGAUAUAAUUGUAACACCCGUAGAUUUGGGUUAGUCAAUUUAGAGACAAUAAGCAUCAAAAAUAACUUUUUUUUGAUAUAAGAGUAUUUAGAAUAAAUAAUCUUGACCAAGUUAUAUUAUAUGUCACAAGGGUUCCGUACAUAUAAAGAAUGCUAAAAUCUGAGUUAUAACAAAAUAGUUAUGACCCGUCGAGAUUUUACGGCAAAACCGACACGACACUGGGAAUCGUAAAAAGUGAAUUUACGUUAAAAUAGUUUCUAGCCUUAGCGAUCUAAACGAAAGUCGUAGUAUAUGUUAAACUGAAAGUGUGCAUAAAGAGAACGUCCAAAUCUGACUUCGUAUGAGAAAGUUAUGAUUUUUCUAAGAUUUAGCAUAAUAGUACACAACCCGAAAUUCGAAUUUUAGAUCGGUCGAUUUUUAACCAAAAAGUAUUAAUGAGAAAUGAAGAUAUCGUUAAUAGGAGUUCAACGAUAAAAAGACAGUAGAAAACAGAGCUCUUAUGCGAAAGAUAUGGACGAAACUUAGUCCCUACUCUUCGAGCGCGGCUAAUUCGAUACAGUUUUGUAAAUAUGAGAUAGAGUCAGAAUUUGCCGAUGGAAUCUAAAUGAAAGUUGUAGUACUCGUAAAUACCAACGCAUGGAUAUAAAUAAUGUCGAUAAUAGAGCUUGUAUGCGAAAUAUAUGGACGAAACUUAGUCCCUACUCUUCGAGCGCGAUAAAUUCGAUACAGUUUUGAAAAUCGGAGAUAGAAUGAGAAUUAGCCGACGAGGUUUAAAUGAAAGUUCUAGUACUCAUAAAUACCAACGCGUGGAUAUAAAGAAUGUAGAAAACGGAGCUCGUACGCGGAAGAUACGGACGAAACUUAGGGCAUACUCUACGAUAAAACCGCUAUAAAUAAGAGAUUAACUCUUCGUAUAUUCUUCACACCAUAAGCCUUUAUUUCUCUCUCUAACUUCUCUCUAGACUCCCUAAACCCCCCUAAAGCCUAGAAAACUUCCAUAGCACUAGAAGAAAACCCCGGAGCAAACGAAGGCUUUGAGAAAAAGAGCUUUUCGGCUCAGAAGCUCUACUCCAGCAGAGCCCGGUUUAUAAUAAGACCCGCUCUAUGUGAAAUAAGCCUACCAUACUUUAAAUAUAGCUUAUAUUUAAAUAUAAUCUAGUUUUUAUGAACCUAGAAAUAAGAUUUAUCAGUGAUUCCAAUUUUUCAUAAUGAUUGAUCUACUUACGAGAAUGAUGUCUAGGCUGUGAUUUAGUGAGGUGUUUAAAGUGGGAUUUCUAAAUAAUAUACUUUAUAUACCAAACGGAACCUACCUCCGAUAUGACCCUACCUAGUUGUUCCUUACUUGAUAGAGAAUGAUAGUAGACUUUGGGUUAAUGAUGAAUCUAGAAUAAUAAUUAGUCGCAAUAAAUAUUAGACUAAAACUUAGCGAUAAUAAUGCUAGGUUUCGUCAAAGAAAAAUAGAAGCGUUAAAUCCGAAGCACUGCCCUAGUUUAGAAUCAUCACUUUAACAAGUGAGUGCAUAGUUACUUUCACAUUACACAUAAACAUGAAGUAUUUUAUAUAAAUUACGUGCUAUGUGUGUAUACUUUUUGAAUACUUGUUGUCUAUGUUGGAUGAAACGUUUUAUACAUGUUUUAAACGAGCUAAACUGUAUAUGUAUUUUAUAUCUACAAAAUGUGUUGGGUAUAACAUGGGUAGAUUAGAGGUGAGAUAAAUGAAGAGCGAUGAAAGAUGAGAUAAAUGAUGAGCGAUGAAACACGAGAUGAAUGAUAAGCGAUGAUAUAUGUGUGAUAAAAUAUGGUGUGAAACGAUGACCUAAGCGAUGAGCCAAACAAUGACCCAAGCAAUGGCCCCAUCAUCCAGUAGAGUAUAGAUGACAACCAAGGACUAUUCUAGACAGUCUACUGGAACACUAGCAGGCUCACAACCCGUAGGUUUUGUGAACGAUGUUUUCACCCAGUGUACUCUAAAAACCCAUUGACAGGUAUUACGAGUGGACUCUCGAAAACGAUACUGUCAAUAAACGACAUAAACCCUGGCAACUAUGCAAACUUAGUGCUGAUUCCUUAGGAUACUCCUAGGAAUGAAUGAAUGAGGAAUAGUUGAAUCUUAGGGUAGAUCCUUAAGAGUAAAGAAGGUACUCUGAUUUUUAUAAAUCAUAAACAAAAUCGGUCUUUUCUGGCCGUGAAAAUGGGGAUGUCAAACCAACCGAUAUGGUGCCUUGGCUAUCGGAGCCGCACCAGGGACUAGGUUAAUCCUUAACUCUACCUACCUCUCUGGAGGUACCCCGUGAAAAUCCUCUGGGAACACGUCCGGAUACUCCCGUACGAUCGGUACAACAUGCACUAUCACCUUACCCUUCUCCCAGGCAUCCAUAACAUAGGCGACAUAACCUGCGCAACCCUACUGAAGGUAGUGCCUCGCUCUCGUUGUUGAACAUAAAGUUGGUCCACCCUGCGGCCUCUGACCUUGAAUCACUAUAACUCCCCCACUUGGGGUCCGAAUUCGGACAAGCUGCUGCUCACAGUCUAUCACUGUCCCCUUAGGGCUAAACCAGUCCAUGCCCAUUAUAACCUUAUUCCCUGGCAUGGGAAUAGGGACUAAAUCCAUAGGAAACUGCUCAUCAAACAACUGCAGUGUAUAUCCAUGAUGAACCCUUGAAACCCGAAUGGUCCUAUCAUUUACUAUCUCUACAUUUAGUUGACAGUGCAGCUCCCUUGGAGCUCCCACAAACCGCUUGCUGAGUGUGAGCGACACAAAAGAUCAGGUAGCCCUCAAAUCAAAUAUACCAUAGCAGAUAUAUCGUUCACAAGGAACGAUCCUAUAAUGAAAUUCAUAAACAUAAGAAAUAAUCAAUAUCAAUAAAAAGAUAAGGAGAAGAUACAUACCUGUCACUACAUCGGGAGCUACACGUGCCUCUUAUGUUGUCAACUGGAAGGCUCUGCUCUUCGCCACUGUCACCUUUGUCUGGCCCUGAUGGCCAUUGGUAAUCCUCAACGUAGCAGGGGCGGGUGCCGCCACUUGUCCUAAUGCUACUAAACUCGGGCAUUUGGACCGCUUGUGUCCCCUCUGAUUGCAAUGAAAGCAAAUCAUAUCUGAUACUGUCGUGGUAGUGGUGGUGGUAGUAUUACAAUCCCUGCUAACAUCACUAGUUUGGCCACACUUUAAGCAGCCCGAACUACCUGUCAUGCAUGUCCUCUCGUGCAACUUGCCGCACUUACCCUAAUGGAUGCGGCCCUGCUGGCUCCUCGAUCGGUGAUCUGAUACCUUGGGCUUUUUCGCCGCACUCUUUGACUGAAUCCCCUAUGGUUUCCUCUUCUUUUCCGUCUCCAAAUCCAACUCUCUCUCUCUCGAGCCCUCGCAAUCAUAUCCUCCAGUGUCUUGCAACUGGAUCGUCUCAUAAACUGGCGAAUAUCACUUUGCAACAUCUCAAGGUAUCGGGCCCUUUUCAUAUCCUUGUCCGCCACGUACUGCAGAAUGAGAAGGGCCCUCUCCCUAAACAUGGCAGUGAUCUCGGUCACCGUCUCAAUAGUCUGUAGGAGAUCCUAGAACUCCCUAGCAUGCUGUUGCACCUCAAUCAUAGGUACAAACUCGGCUCUGAACCUGGCCAAAAAGUCACUUCUGGUCAUCGCAUCUAAAGUUGCAUCAUCCCCAAUGGCAUGUCCGAACUCCUCCCACCAGUCGCGUGCUUUGUCCUUCAGAAGACAAGAAGCAACUCAAACCUUGUUCCCCUCGGGACAUCAGCUCGUACAGAAGGCAUUGGUGACAUCAACCAACCACCUGCUUCUAGAAAUGGGGUCCCAAGCCCCAUGAUAGUCUCGAGCUCCAUAAGCCCAAAACUCCUUGAAAGUCAUCGUACGCGCCCCUAGCAUGUCCACCAUCUUGGUGCAGAAUGCUUCCAACCUCUCAUCAAGUAUCUCUAAGAUUCCCUCCUGGAUCGUACCGAAGAUCACAAGAGUCUGGUCUAAAAUAUUACACAUGACCUCAGAUGAAAUGAACUCUCUCAUCUGCUCGUCGAGCUACCCGACACCAGAGCCCGAGCCCAAUCCCUCAUUGGCAUCUUAACUGCCAACUGGUCUAGUGCGUAGCAUCACCAUACUAAAAAUACACCAUAACAAACAUCAUAAUAUGCAUAAGAACUCGAGGGAUCUCACGUACUACAAGAUUCCUUGGUGCAUCACAGCCUUCCUUGAUUCAAGUAUGGAUCCUCUGCUUUUAGUAGUACGGGCCCAUACUGCCUUCCACAUCUAUCCGUACUCUCCUCAAGAACUGCCUUGACUCCACUAAGUCCCCUUUACUACUGCUACUCUCUGCUAAUCUCAUCCUAGGCUUGCCCUCGGGAAAUCUCCGACCCACUCCCCGCCAUCGGUUGCAUAAGAAGUCCCUACUACCUCCCCCUAACUAGCUCGCAAAUACUAUUACAUAUCACUAAGACUAGAUAAUUCUUCAAAUAAGAGGUCCUACCUUACAACAGUUGGACUCAGACAAGAGCUGCGAAAUAGAGCUGAACCUAACCUUCUGAAAUUAUUUAGUCCUCAUAAUAUGUAACUUAACAUAUUCGUUUACUAGUUAGUUAAAGAUAACUAGAACUCCUAAAAGCACAAAGCAAGAAGUAUUCGAGCAUUGAGUAACAUAAUCAAGCACACCCUACUCAGACCAUCAUAUUACUGACUAAUCAGUACUAGCAUAUAGUUCAAUAAGCUCAUAUAGCAGGCAUAUAAGGCAUCCUUCCUAGAUCCUUAGCCCAAACUAGCAUGUAGUUCUCAUACACAUAUAACAAGCAUACAAGGCAUCAUUCCUAGAUCCUAAACCCUAAUCUAGCAUGCAGUUCUCUUAAUCAUAACAUAACAAACAUGUAUGGGUAAUUUGGGAGAACUUACUUGAGGUCGGCUAAUUGCAUGCACCACACCCUUUUCUCUUUUAAAAAUCCCUUUUUGUAUAAAUGUUUUUUCCUUUUUAAAAAUUUUUAUACCAAGUCCCCAGUUUAAGUUCAGACACACCUAAGAGUGUGCCCGAAUUCCUCAAACCAAGACUCUGAUACCAACUUGUAACAUCCCAAAAAUACGAUCCAACAAUUUCGUUUUUAAUUAUUAAAUAAAACCAUAGUCAUCAAAUCAUCACAUAAAAUCAUAAACAAUUGUAUCUCAAAAACAUCAUAAUCAUCUGUCAAAUAUAUCAGAGUAAAACAUCCCAUGAUAAAAACAUGGUGUGUGCACUGCAGUCAUCCCGAGGUCUUCCCCUUGCUACCGGAAGUACCUGAAACCAAAACUGAAAACCGUAAGCACGAAGCUUAGUGUGUCUCCUUAAACUUCCAAAUACCGUACACAUAAUCAUAUUAGCACAUAAUAACAUACAUGGGCCUAGCCCGCUACAUCGGGCCCCGCCCGACAUCGGAAAAGUCAGGCAUCGGGCCCUGCUCGACGACGGACCAAAAUCCAACAUUGAGCCCCGCCCGACAUCGAGCAAAGCUCAAUAUACAUAUAAACAUAUCAACAAAUACAAAUAAAUAAUCACAUAUCAUAAACAUAUCAACAUUCCUUGGGCUUUCCCCGACAUCGGACUGAAGACCAGAAACAUAUAAAACAAGCACAUGCAAGAAUCACGACGACAUCAAGCAUACAAACAUUUCUCGGGCUUUCCCUAGCAUCAGACUGAAGUCCGGAAACAUAUAAACCUACAUCGGACUUGCCCGACAAUGGACCUUAGCCCGGUAUAUACUAACAUACAUAAACGGACCGACAUUGGUGCCUUCGACCCAUUCCUACAGGAGGAAACUCCCCUCGCAAAGCUGAAUGCAUAAUCUCACAGUAAGGAAUCUUUAACGGCUACUUCAACGACUUUCGGGCUAUUAUUAUCACAACAAAAUUUAUUCAAAAUCUAAAAAUCCUUCUUUGGGUAAAAUGACCAUUUUACCCAUGGUCAAAGUCAACAUUCUGGGUUGACUCAAAUCGCCGAGUUGACCCAUCAACUCGUCGAGUUCCAUAAAUCAAAAAGCCCUAAAAUCACGAUCCAACUCGUCAAGUUCUUCACAAACACGUCACGUUUCUCCUAUCAACGGAAUCGGUACUUUCCAAGUCCACUGGUUGAGUUCGUACUAAACUCAUUGAGUCUUACCUUUUACAGAGUCGGGGCAUUUCGACCCAACUCGUCAAGUUCCUUUAUGAACUCAUCGAGUUCUUCCGUCUUUUAAGCUAUCUUAAUAGAUUAAGCUCCUAUCCUUCAGAUCUAAGCUUCAUACUUCAUAUGCAUACUGGAAAUAUCCUUUUAAGGGUAAAGUUUCUAUCUUUACCCAUUAAUACUCUUCCUUAAUGGAUUUAGCUGAAACCUUAACUCUUUAAGACCUAGUUCUUGAUCUAAAAUCCAUUAAUACUUCAAGCUAAGGCAGACAAACUGAGAUCUAGAUUCUAGACAUUACUUGGACACGUAAAGUCUCUGCCUUCCUCUCUAUGCAUGGCCUUUAGGGGCAUAAAAGGACAAAAUUACUUCCUAAAGCUUGCAUGAGGCUACAAUGGCCAUAAAGUUUGCACCGUUAUGCCUCAAAAGCCCUUCAAGGUCCUGGAUCUGGAAGUAUACUCACUUGGGACGUCCAUUUCCGAAGGACCAUGCUACCUGGACCAAAAACCAAUAAAAGUGAAAAUGAAGAGAUCUAAAUAAUCAUUAAGCAAGUUUGAGACUUGCUUACUAGAAAAUGCUACAAAUUGAGUGAAGUUUCCGAAUCUUAAAGUUUUCUCUUGGGCCCUCAAGCUUCUCCUUCUUCUACAAGCUUCAAAUACACAAGUUUUCUCUCAAAAUGACUCAAAAGCUCACACAAGGCAUUAGGGUUUCGAGAUUUAGGGUAUAGGACUUGGAGGAUGUAAAUGAGGCCAGCCUGUGGAGGUUAAGGUGUUUAAAUAGGGUGCAAAACCCAGAAAAAUAGGGUUUCAUUCUACUUGUCCUACUCGUCGAGUUGAGGCUCUUAACUCGUCGAGUAGACUUUACAACCCGCAUCCAAUUCCAUUCCUAUUCGAUGAGUUUGGGGCCUCCAACUCGUCGAGUUUUCUAUACAAAAGUGAAUAAGGAAUUAAUUAAAUAUAUACCAGGAACUAGGCAAUACAUUAAAUCCCCAUUUCAAAAGUACUCAUGAAUGUUGCAGCAAACUAUUGCUAUGUCGAAACACUUAGACAAUCUAUAACUCAAUUCAUUACAUUCUUAAUUCGCUACUUACUUCCAAAGUAUGAUCGACUGUGGAUAUUUGAAUAAUGUAAUUAUUUUGGAAGUAAAACAUGCUAAAGUGAAACAAAAUGAUAACAAUUGACAAAAGAUAGUAAACAAUACUCAUAAAUAAAUCUCCAUUAUUUAAUCAUCAAGUGUCAAUUCCAUUUAUUUGUUACAAGUUUCUAAAUAUCUACUUAAUCACUAAAACUAAUAUCAUCCUUCAGACCAAUGGUCCUUGCAUGCUGAAUGUGAUUAACCCUACUCAGACCCAUUGUGAGGGGAUCAACAUGAUUCUUUUCAGAUGAUACCCUCUUUAUGACGAGGUGUCCUUCUUCUACUCGAUGUCUAAUAAAGUGAUUUUUUCUAUCGAUAUGUGUAGAUCUUCCAUGAUCUAUUGGUUCCUUGGUCAAGGAGACCGCUCCUUUAUUAUCACAGAAAAUCUCCAUCGGCUCCUUAAUGGAUGACACAACUCCAAGGUCUCUAAUGAAGUUCUUCAACCAUAUAGCCUCCUGUGACGCUUUGCUCGCAACUAUAUACUCCAAUUCACAUGUAGAAUUAUCUACGGUAUCCUGCUUAGAACUUUUCCAAGUCACAUCUCCUUCAUUAAGGGUAAACACCCAACUAGACUGAGAAUGGAAGUUGUAUCUGUCUGUCUGAAAGCUGGUGCCUCUAUAUCCAGUAACUCUCAAGUCAUCACUGCCACCAAGCACAGGGACCCAGUCCUUAGUUCUUCACAUAUACUUAAUAAUAUUUUUGACCACUAUCCAAUGAGCUUUACCUGAAUUUCCCUGAUGUCGACUACUAUGCUCAAAGCAAAAGCUGCUUCAGGGCGAGUACAAGUCAUAGCAUACAUGAUCGAUCCAACGGCGGAAGCAUAUGGAGCUCAACUCAUUUACGCUACCUCUGCAUCGAUAAUUGGCCUCUGAGUCUUACUCAGCUUGGUAUUACUCUAGAUAGAUAACUUUCAUUUCUUUGAAUUUUCCAUGCUAAAACGAUUUAGCACCUUAUCCAAAUACGUGCUUUGACUAAGUCCAAUCAAUCUUGUACUCCUAUUUCUCAAAAUCCUUAUUCCUAGAAAUGUAACACCCCGACUCUCAGGUAUUAAUUUUAUAGCUUUAUUUUUCAUAUUGAAAGGUCUACUCGAUGAGUUGGAGGCCCUGAUUCGUCGAGUAAGAACGUUUUUGGCCGCGAGUUUAAGUAACCAACUCAACGAGUCAGAGGACAUGACUCGACGAGUAGGAGCUGGUGGAUGAAAACCUAAUUUUCAUGGUAUUGUACCCUAUUUAAAGGUUCAUUGGCCUCCCUUAGCCUCCCCUUACAGCCCUUGUGAGUCAAAAUACCCUAAUUUGUGUGUGCUCCAUUCCUAUGUGAUGUUCAAGCUUGGAAGGUGAUUUGUAAGAAGAAGGCUUGAAGUAUAAGAGGAGUUGUGUAAGAGGAGCUAGUAGGUCUGACUUUUCUACUUCUUGGCAUCAGUUUGAAGGUAACAAGUUGUUACCUUGACCUUCCCUCUUUCUAGAUCUCUUUGUGAUUGAAUAUUAGGGCUUUUCCUANNNNNNNNNNNNNNNNNNNNNNNNNNNNNNNNNNNNNNNNNNNNNNNNNNNNNNNNNNNNNNNNNNNNNNNNNNNNNNNNNNNNNNNNNNNNUCUUUAUAUAUAUAUAUAUAUAUGUAUUAGCCAUUUUUGGGUAUGGGUUAGGAUCUGAAGUUGCAAAUUCAGAUAUGAGCUUAUCUGGGUCUCUAUAGCUACAAAGUCUCAAGAUUUAGGAAGCAUGAACCUUCCAUUUUGAGAUAAACCCCAAUAUAAGCUUGGAUUUGACAUUCUAAGCCUUUAAAUCCUUACAUGAACGUAAAGUUUGCAACUUUACGUGAUAAACAUGCCUUGAGAAGCUUGAUCUACAAUAUGGAGCCUUGGAGUGGCUUAAAAAGCAUCUGAAUGGAGGAAGGACUAAAGGGACUCGACGAAUUGCAUGGCCAACUCGACGAGUCCGAUGAAGAUUAUUUUGCAAGGACUUCUGCAUGGAGGUGACGAGUCAGCUAGGGGUUUCCCGACUUUUGAACAUUCAUGAACUUGGCGAGUUGCAUUGAAAAUCGACGAGUCAACGGGGGAUUUCAUGACUUCUCGAGUUCAGGAAGGACUCGACGAGUCGGGUCAAUAUGGACUGUUAACCUUGACAAUUGAAUUGGACUGUGAUCAAUGGUUGACUAGUUGACAUCGAGGGUAUUUUGGGAAAUUGGAAGUUUGUGGAUAUGGCUCUAUGGUGAAUAUAGGUGGUGGAGUUCGUGUCCGUGGUUCGAGAGUUUGAUCCGAUCGCUUCGAUUCGACAGUUAAUAGGUGAGUUGUCCUCAGUAUAUCAACAUGGUCUAAGGCACCAAUGUCGGCACUUUUUGGAUUUGUAUCAGGGUUUCUUACACGUUAUGCUUUAUGAUAUAUAUAUAUAUAUAUAUAUAUAUAUCCAGGUUAUAGGAUGGUUGCUAUGUUAGAGAUCGGUUAGAUCGAUAUCCUGGUUAUAGGAUGUUUUCCAUGAUUAGUGAUCAGUUAGAUCUACAUGUUUACUUGUUUAUAUGUAUGUGCACAUGUUUGUUGGUUUUGGGAAAGGGUUGAGGCAGGUCCUACUGUGUGCAAUAGGCCAAGACACCCUGGGCGGACCGGGUUGACUGCAGGCCCGACCAAGCAAAUCUUGUUAGCCGAAGGCCGACUGAGCGGUUCCAAUAGGUUGAAGCCCCUGAGGAGGGCGGUCCAUACACACUGAAGGCUCGGAGAGCGAUCCAGAUAGACUGAGGACCAAGAGUCGGUNACUGAAGGCUCGGAGAGCGAUCCAGAUAGACUGAGGACCAAGAGUCUCUCCAGUCAGACUGAUGGCUCGUUUUGCAUGUUGUUUGCUUAUAUGUUUAUAUGAUAUUCUAAUGUCAGUAUGGCGUUGGUAUUUUGGAGGUAACUCCCUAGUCCUUCGAGAUUACAUUUAUUUAUUAUUGUUUCAGGUACUUCUGAUGAUCGCGGGAAGGAGAAGGUGUGAUCGUGCGCCUCCUUAUGUUUUUACUAUUGAUUCUAGGAAACUCUAAUAUUAAAGCAUUUUGAAAACAUACUUGUUAUAAUUAUCGGUUUUUGAAUAUCUUAAAAAGUUUUAAAUUGGCAUGAAUUUUAUGGAUGUUACAAGUGGGUAUUAGAGCCUUGGUUUGAGUGAAUUGGAGGAAAGACUCGUGUGUCUCCAGUCUCAAACUAAGGACAAAAUUUUUAAUGUGAUUUUUUCAAAUGGAUUUGAAAAUAAUAAAGGAGUAUGCAAGUGUACAAUCAGCCGGAGAUCGUGAAUAGACCCCAAAAUACCUUACGGAUUAUUUAAUUUGUGAUAUGUUUGAACAACAUGCUAGUACUAGGCUAGGGAUCUUCAGGAAUUACAUGAUAUAAUUGCCUGAUUAUAUGAUGUAUGCUAGCCUAGGGUUUGUCCUUAUAUGAAAUUGACAUCAUUACUAUAGUUGCUUAGCGUAUGCAUCACGGUUGUACAUAAUUAAGAUCUUAUAGACAGAGAGUGUUUGGUUUGGCCUUAUUUCUUAUUCUUGUUUGAUGAUGGGCUUAGGGUAGACUUAGGUAUUCGAAAGUCUAUAGGGUCUAGAGUUAUGUAUGGCUAGCAUACACAAGUGCUGCAGGUUUUGUGGAAGUUUCAUGGAUGGGUUGUUGGAAAGAGUCCGCCAGUUAUGAGAUAUUUAGCCUUGCUCUAGGAGUGUGGAUUGAGUGCAUGCCAUGCUUACGUAUAGUUUAGGGCGUUGUGAUGAUACUUGAUACAAAUAUGGGUAGGUGUGGAAGGUAGUAUGAUCUCGUACUGCUGAAAGCACAAGACCUAUACGCAUAGCAAGGAAGUUAGAACCCCUAGGGUUCUGUUUGGGGUUGGUUCCCUGAUUAUUAUAUGGAAUAUCUGAUAUCUUCCUGGUGUGUUUUUCUUCAUCGUGGUUUCUUGACAAUUUGUGACUUGAUCCGGGUCGGGAUCAAGAGACGGCGGGCAAGAGGCACCCCUAGUGCCCGAGACUAUUGGCCAGAUGAGGCCAGACGAGAUGGACGCCAGGAUCCAAGAGAUCCUACAGGAUGAGGUGGCUGCACAAUUUUGGGCUCAGUUACCGGAGAUGUUCGAGUCUAUCAAGACCACCAUGAUGGAGUAUUUCGAUGAUCUCUAUGCAACCCUCACUGAGGCGGCUGCCACAGCAGCCGCAACGGCUGUAACAACGGCAGGGGUAGGAGCUAGUCGGGCCUUCCAGUAUCGGGAAUUCAAUAACACGAAGCCCCUACUUAUGAUGGGACUCAGGACCCCAUCAAAGCCAUGAGUUGGCUAUAUGAUGUGGAGGAGUGUUUCUACGCGUGUUCAUGUCCUACUGACUACAAGGUCAGAUGUGCCCUAAACCUGUUGAGGUAUGGGGAAAAGGACUAGAGGAGGUUGAUGACUGGAGCUUAUUCGGAUGAUCAGAGAGCCGCAGUUACUUGGGAGUAGUUCCAGGAUAUGUUCCGUGCUCACUACAUUCAGAGGGUCAAGCGGGAGCGGUUACCUCAGAAGUUUCUGGAGUUGAGACAGGAGAGUGAGACGGUGAUGGAGAUGACCCGCAUGUUCACAGAGAGGGCGAUGUUCUGCCUGGAGUUUGCCUCUGAGCAGGCUCAGAUGACACAUUAUCUGAGCAUGCUCAAGACCGACAUACAUCAGUUUGUAGCUACUCAACGGUGUGAUACCCUGCUAGAGCUACAGGAGGCCUCUAGGUGGCAUGAGUUGGAGAUUGAGCUAUAGUUAGGAAAAUCACAUAAUAGUUUAACACAUCAGAUAACAAAACGAAGGUUUUAUUAUUUCUUUACACUAUUAUGUAUGUGUUCAAGUUCACCCUAGACUAUGCCUCUAAUAGGCUACAUCAUAAGAUAUUAUGGCUACUGCAUAACUUGAUCUUCGGAUAUGUAGUCCUCAUCCUUGAUUCCUCGCGCGGUUUUCUGCUUCGUCGAGGAUCAUGUGGAAUGCCCUUGGCCUCGGCGGCGUUUCUGGUCUUGCUGCUUUAUUUUUCCCCGAGCAGUCCCUAGAAAUAUGCCCUUCUUUGUUACAUCCAUAACACACCUUCUUGUUGGACGCACACUUGCUGGCGUAAUGCCCUGUCUUUCCACAUUUGUAGCAAGUCACCUCCUCGCCACAUUUCCCGAAGUGCUUCUUUUUACACUUCUCGCACCACUUGGAUUCACCUCCUCCUCCUUCUUCUGUUUUUGAGAAUUUCUUUUCUAUGUUGGAUUUUGAAGAUCCCUCGUGCUUCCUUUUCUCGCCAAUUUCAGCUCUUUCCAGACCCUUCUCUCGUAUCUGGGUCUCCACAUUCUUAGCAGCCCAGAUGGCGGCUUUUAGAGUGGUAGUUUGCUUGACCAUUGGACCGAAGUUCGCUGGUAAUUCGAGGGCAAAUUUGUUAACCUUGGAGAGUUCAGUUGGGAGGAGGUGAGGAACAAGCUUCAUUUUCUCAGUAAAGCUUUCAGCAUAUUGAGUAACGCUCAUUUUUCCCUUCUUCAGAUUUUGGAAUUCGUUGUUGAUCUCCAGAAGAUCCUGCUCAGAGCAGUACUGCAUUUUCAACAACACCAGAAAAUCCUCCCAUGACAUCUUGCUCGCUUCUCCUUUGGGCAUUGAAUCGGCUAGAAGCUUCCACCAACUUAGUACUCUAGAUUUCAACAAAGGAACCGCGAGAGCAGUCUUCUGCCUGUUGCUACACUCGCAACUUUCAAACAUCGUCUCCAUCUCAGAGAUCCAGUUCAUGACUUCCACCGGCGUCGGGCUUCCAGAUAGACUCNNNNNNNNNNNNNNNNNNNNNNNNNNNNNNNNNNNNNNNNNNNNNNNNNNNNNNNNNNNNNNNNNNNNNNNNNNNNNNNNNNNNNNNNNNNNNNNNNNNNNNNNNNNNNNNNNNNNNNNNNNNNNNNNNNNNNNNNNNNNNNNNNNNNNNNNNNNNNNNNNNNNNNNNNNCCCCCCGGCCAUUGUUAUUGGCUCAGCGGCGGCUACCACAACCGGUAUUUGCUCAAUCACUGGGGGCUGAUCUCGGUUCCCAUUUUCAUUCACGUUUCCGCUACGGGUCGUUGCCAUCUUGAUCUAUACACCGAAUAAGGUGAAUCUAGAUCUUUAUUUAGGAUUGAUGUUUGAAUCAUCCUUAUCACUCCGAAACGUUUACAUGCUAGUUCUAAUAUCGUAGUCGUACGUUUAGAAUCCUAAAAACAUAAGGUUUCCAGAUCCAGUCGGCAACAGACCAUAUAUCCGAUCAAACUAUAGCAUAAAGCAUAACAAAUCAUUUAGCACGUAAAAGCAAUUUAGGCAUCAUUCCUAAAAUAAGCUAGUGCUCACACCUCACAAUCAUCGCUUAGCAUUCUAAGUUUAAGUCUAGAAAUUUCUUACAAAUUCCUAGCUCGCUUAAACUAAUGUUCUGAUACCAACUGUGACAUCCCCAAAAUCACAGCCAGAAAAGACCGAUUUUGUUUAUGCUUAUAAAAAUCAGAGUACUUCUUUUAAUAAAAAAUGUUGCGGAAUUUGUUCCCAGAAAAACAUGAUAAAUACGUUAUUAAAACAUUUUCGAAGUUCGUUAAAUCCCCAUAACUUCUUCAUCCGAUGUCCGUUUUCUUCCAUCUUUUUCUCAUUACGCUACUCCUAAUGAGAUCUUCGAUUCUUGUUUAGGUCGUGUCGGCUAAAAAUCACUCGAUCAAAUAUUCAAAUUUCGGUCUGUACACUGCUAAUCCGAAACUUUGAAAAAUCAUAACUUCUUCAUACGAAGUCAGAUUUGGGCGUUCUUUUUAUCGAUGUUCUUAGUUUAACAUAUUCUAUGACUUUCGUUUAUAUCGCUAAGGCAAAUACUCGCUCUAUCAUAAAUUCACUAUUUACGCUUCCCGGUACCGUGUCCGUUUUGUCGCGAAACUUCGACGGGUCAUAACUUCUUCGUUAUAACUCGGAUUUCGGCGUUCUUUAUAUGUACGGAAACCUUGUGACAUAUACUACAACUUGGUUCAAAUUAUUUAUUCUAAAUAAUCUUUCGUUGAAAAGUCGUUUUGGACCUCUAUUGUCUCUAAAUUGACUAGCCCGGAUCUACGGGCGUUACAGUCUGGACAAAAUUGAAUCAUUUAUAAAGUCCAAAGACCAUAAGGACAUGCUAAAGAAUCUUUUGGAUGAAAAUGAUGGGUUGAAACUCAAAGCCGAAACUAUACAAAAAUUUGACUCAUUGAGUACCAAAUUAAGUUCAGAAAAUAAAAUUGAUGUUGAAAAUGUAUCUGAACUUAUUGAGGAUGAUUACAUGAGUGAAAUCUCUGUAGAGGAUGAGGUUGACUGUUCAGAGUUUAUUAGGAGCGAACCUGAAAACCAAAAAAACCUGAUUUCUGAAAAUUCUGUGGAAUUUGCUCGUCUGUUCAAAAAUAAGUCCCCAAUCCUUAAAGAGAAGGGCGUUGUUUACCAAAAGGUAAGAACCACUCCCAAUCAGCUUUAUAAGGUCACAAGAGUAACCGAACAUCAAACAGCCGAACUCUCUGUAUUGGUGAAUGAAGAUAAUGCAGAUGGUUGUGAUGAGUUUUUCUGGUCUGCACCGAUAGUCAACGCAGACGAAAUAGUUGGUUUAUCGGAGCGAACAUCAUGGAAAGUCAAAGGUAGAUAUGUGGAAGAACCACUUACUAAACCUACCAACUUUGACGUGCCCAGUUCCAGUGGCACAAAAGAGGUUCCAGUAGAAUGCGUCUCCUCAACAAGCGAAACCUCUUCCAUGGAAAGUGAACCAGUUGUUCAGAAGCCGAAACAAAAGGCAAAUAUUCACAGACAACUGAAACAGGUGAAAAAUCAAAAGCAGCAGAGAAAUCUGAGAUACAAGAAAAAUCUCUUAGAGCGAAAGCAAUUUUGGCGCUCCCAAAAUCCUCACUAUACUCACUUUGAUAGAAACUUCAAGCCAAAAGGAAAAGAAAAUAAGAGUAAAAGGAGCUUCGGUCCAUUGGAUCAAAAGAACCAGAAGAAGACUUUCGGGCCACAGUAAGAACAAAACCGGAAAGAUAAGUUCGGUCCCGAAAGUAACAACAACCAAAAGCCUGGUUUCGGUCCACUAAACAACAACGGACAAAGAACAGAGUUCAGUCCAUCAAGCUUUUACAGCAGAAGACCCAGUUUCGGUCCAAAAACCCACAACAACCGAAAAGCCAGUUUCGGUCCAUCAACAAAUAGCAACCGAAGGUCCAGGUUCGGUCCCUCAAAUGAUCCCAACCGAAAGGGUCAUUUCGAACCUCAAGUCAGCAAAGAUUCUCAUUGUAAUUUCUAUUCCUCUAAUUCUUCUUGUUCUCAUCCUCCUUCUAAGCCUAAUUCUCGUCCUACACCAAGCUCACACUCGAAGAAAGAUUUGAAAGGAAAAAGUAAGAUUUCCUCAGCACAUGAAGACCGAAAGCAAGCUAAAGUUCAAACUCCCGAACCUGAAUUCAAAAUACCUGCAUCUGACUCCAAUAAAAUCAAAGUGUUUACUAUUAAGAGGAAAGAUGAAACAACCUUAAUAAAACGAACUUAUCUUGUUGAUGUUUCUCUUAUUAUUCAUGUUUCUGUAAAAAGCUCAUGAGGACCCAAGAGACUUUGGGUUCCUAAAUCUGCUUAAUUUUUGUAGGAUAUAAGUGACGAGCAGUUCGACGAAGAAUGGUACAUAGAUAGUGGCUGCUCGCGUCAUAUGACAGGAAGGAAGGAAGAGUUAAGGGAGUUUCGAUCCCUUCAAAAUGGUGGUAACGUCAAGUUUGGUAACAACUCCUAUGGAACGAUAAAGGAUUAUGGGAUGAUAACCAAUGGAGACUUUACAAUCAGGAAGGUGGCUUAUGUAGAGGGGUUGCAGCAGAACCUCAUCAGUGUGUCUCAACUGGUGGGAGGUACAGGUCUCAAAGUCUCGUUCGAUGACGAAGGUUCAGAGAUAAUAGAGAAGAAAUCCAACAAAGUUAUUCUCAAGUCAUAACGAAAAGGUGAAAUGUUCCCUCUGAAUCUCAACCCAACGAAAGUGAAUCCAACCAUAUGUCUAUUGUCCAAAGCACAUUCAGACGAAAGUUGGUUGUGGCACAGAAGGCUCUCACACCUCAACUUCAAAGACAUCAACAAGCUAGUCAUCGGUGGUCAUGUUCGGGGACUUCCACUGCUUAAGUUCGAUCGAGAACACUUAUGUGCUGCAUGUGAAAUGGGAAAACAAAGUCGCCAAAGUCACCCAACAAUCAUAAACACCAAAGUUGUUGAACCACUUGAGUUGCUUCACAUUGACUUAUGUGGUCCAUCAUCAAUCGAGAGCAUUGGCGGUAACAAGUACAUCCUUGUUAUUGUUGAUGACUUCUCACGAUUUACUUGGGUAUUCUUUCUAAAGCACAAAUCUGAGGCGACUCCCAAGCUGAAGAUCUUUAUCAAGCAGGUCGAAGUGCAACUAAGAAAAGUCGUUCGAAACAUCAGGAGCGACAAUGGACUGGAAUUCAAGAACAAAGAAUUCAAAGAUUUCUUAGCAGAAAAAGGCACCAGUCACAAUUUCUCAGCCCCCUAUACACCUCAACAGAACGGAAUUGUCGAAAGGAGAAACCGAUCCCUAUGUGAGGCGGCCCGAACCAUGCUGAUUUUUGCCUCCCUUCCUCUAUAUUUCUGGGCAGACGCCAUUGCUGCAACUUGUUUCACUCAAAACAGAUCUUAUCUCAACAAGCGUUUCUCUCUCACCCCCUAUGAGAUUAUUAACAAUAGGAAACCGAAUGUCAAGUUCAUUCAUGUGUUCGGCUCGAGAUGCUUCAUUUUCAACUCCAAAGAGCAUCACAACAAAUUCGAUGUCAAAGCCGGUGAAGGCAUCUUUCUGGGAUAUUCUCUUACUUCAAAGGCGUAUAGGGUUUUGAAUAAGCGUUCUAAACUAAUUGAAGAAACCUAUUAUGUAACGUUCAAUGACAAUUACGUCAAGAAUUUGAAGUCUACCGAAGAAGCAAUUGGAGAGAUUUUCUCUCAAACAGACAACAAGAUGGAUCACCUUAAGAAGAUUAUCGAAGACGCAGCCAAACAAAUGGGAGAAGAAGAACCAGUUCGAAACGAACCUCCUCAGAGCAAUACUUCGGUCGAGGGGGAGAAUCAAUUCUCUUCAGAUCGACAUGACUCACAUUUCCAGGGGGAAGGUCCAUCAUUUUCAAUCGACGAUAAUACUCAUGGCAAGGGGAAGAAUCUAAUCUUUGUCAGAACCGGAAGCCCAUCCAGAACCGAAAACCCGUUUGCACCCGAAAAUCCUGUAGCAACCGAAAGUCCAGAACAACCCGAAAGUCCUGUAGCAACCGAAAGUCUGGAUCAGCCCAAAAGCCCAGUCAAAGAAAGAUUUCUUGAUUCACAUCCAAAUGAUUCAUCAUCUGUCGAGGGGGAGAAUUCCAAUAUGCAUUAUGAUGAUGAAACUCAAUCAGAGUUGGAAGAAAUGGUAAAUGCUGAAUUGGAUCCAUCCUAUGAUCCAAAUUAUCCUCCUCUCACCAAAUGGACCAGAGAUCAUCCUGUAUCUCAAAUAGUGGGUGAUGCAUCAUAAAAGGUUCUAACUCGAUCACAACUGAAGGUGAAGCAAACUGCUCUAUUCUCCAAAGUAGAAUUAUGCAUGUUUAAUUCAUUCAUCUCCAAAAUAGAGCCGAAGACCGUCAAUAUUGCUCUCGAUCAUUCUGAUUGGGUUCAGGCAAUGCAAGACGAACUCAAUGAGUUCAAAAGAAAUAAGGUCUGGAGACUCAUUCCAACACCAAAAGAUGCCUCGGUUGUCGGUCUCAAAUGGGUGUUCAGAAACAAAAUGGACAAGGAGGGAAAUGUGAUCCGGAAUAAGGCUCGGAUAGUGGUGAAAGGAUAUUGCCAAGAAGAAGGAAUCGAUUACGAAGAGACAUUCGCUCCGGUUGCAAGGCUGGAAUCCAUUCAAAUAUUUCUUGCCUAUGCUGGACACAAGAAUUUCGAGGUCUACCAGAUGGAUGUGAAGUGUGCGUUUCUGAAUGGGGAACUUGAAGAAACCGUGUACGUGGAGCAACCUCCUAGUUUUGUAAAUGAAAAGCAUCCAAAUCACUGCUACAUCUUGGAUAAGGCAGUUUAUGGUCUGAAACAAGCACCUAGGGCAUGGUAUGAAACAUUAACUAAGUUUUUAAAGACGUCUAAAUUCAAACAAGGUUCGGUUGACCCAACCUUCUUUCGUAAAAAGGAAGGUAACUACCUUAUGAUCGUUCAAAUCUAUGUCGAUGAUAUUAUCUUCGGCUCCACGAAUCCUAGCCUAAUAGCUGAAUUCAGGAAGUUGAUGGAGACUAAAUUUGGAAUGAGCUCAAUGGGUCCAAUUAACUUUUUCCAUGGAUUAAAUAUUAGACAGGGACCCAAAGGCAUCUUUAUCAACCAGGAAGCAUACACUAAGACUCUCCUUAACAAAUUCGGCAUGAUCAGAGACUCAAAGGUAAAAGUCCCUAUGGCAUUCGGCACCAAGCUCGCACCAUCUUUGGAGAAACCAACAGUCGACAUAACGCUAUAUCGCCAAAUGAUUGGUUCCCUGAUGUACCUCACAACUAGCAGGCCUGAUAUAAUGUUCUCGAUAUGCUAUUGUGCCAGGUUUCAAGCAAAUCCUCGUGAACCACACAUGUUAGCAGUGAAGAAUAUAUUCCGGUAUUUAAAGCGAACCACCUCUCUCGGUCUCUAGUAUCCCUCAAACUCAGGUUUCUUCGUUCAAGCCUACUCAGAUGCAGACUUAGGAGGAUGUGGUCUAGACCAAAAAAGCACCACAGGAGGCUGCCAAUUCCUUGACGGGAAGUUGGUUAGCUGGCAAUCGAAGAAACAAACAUGUGUUUCCCUAUCUAUAGCCGAAGCAGAGUACAUUGCAGCCGCCUCCUACAUAUCACAAGUGAUUUGGAUCCAAAGCCAACUCUGAGAUUAUGGACUCCAUAUGAAAAAGAUCCCACUAUAUUGCGACUCAGAAAGUGCAACAUUCCAAGACCAAGCAUAUAGCACUGAGGUAUCACUUUAUUAAGGAUCAUGUGGAAGAUGGAAACAUCGAAAUUCACUUUGUUUGAAACACUGAUCAACUGGCCGACAUCUUCACCAAAGCCCUUCCUGAAGCAAGUUUCAAUAAAAUUCUACAAGGCCUAGGUAUGAUGGAAUCGGAGUCAGUACCAAAAACACCUUCUCAAAACCAAAAGUUGGAAGCAAAAUGAACCGAACACUCGGUCAACUUCGGGCUCGGUUCACACGGGAACCGAAAUGAACCGAACUCUCGGUCUAUUUCGGGUUCGGUCCCACUGCACUUAUUUUCACUUACCUCAAAAAGGUGAUAUCUUUGGUUGUAUACUUUUGUACAAUUGUUUGCCAACAUUCAAAAAUAAUUUUUUUUAUGGAACCGAAAUGAACUGAGCGUUCGGCCUAUUUAUGGUUCGGUUCAAAAAAAAUUUUGUUUGGUUUACUUUGUUUUUCUCUUUACAAAAAUAUCAAAAUACCAAAAAUAUUUUCUUUCCUUUGUCUCUACGUCUGUUUAUGUUAACAAUCUCUGGAAUAUCGAUGGGGCAGGUAUCAUUCACACACUUUAUACUAGCUAAGUAUCCCUAGAAGCAUGCUGUUGCAUGUUGUCCAAAGCCUCAACUGAUUUUAAAUAAAGCCUUAUUGACUGGGUAUAAACAAACCUCGUCUUCCCAAUUAGGCUGCUAAAUUUAUUCUAAUCAUGAGCUACCUUACUCUUUUCUCACAUGAGUUAAGAGUUUUCUUCUUGGUCAUUCUUUUAUAGCAGAGGUACUUUUGUUUCUUUACAACACCUCAAACACUUUUCUCCAUCAUAUUUCGGUUCAUAUUUGUAACCCUUGAGACUCUCAGAAAUAACCACUGAGGUUUAUGGUUACACAAUCUCUGUGUUAUGAUCUUAACUUCAUGUCACCACGUGCUAAGUGAAACCCAAAAUUCAAUACCCAUGGGUUACACUGAAAUCCUUACCACUGUCACGAAGUUCAAGAAGUCGUGUCUUCCUCCUCAAUGGAAUGGAUUUUUCACGAUAUUGUUCAAAGGUUUGUCUGAGAGGAGUGCAGGUUCUGAUGGGGCUAGUCGUUUGUUCAUGACGAUUCCUUAUGGGUUGUACAAUGGUAUCAACCUCGAUUAUGGCUUAGUUCUAUGGCAACAGUUGAUCCAAAGCCUCGCCUCUNAAUGGUAUCAACCUCGAUUAUGGCUCAGUUCUAUGGCAGCAGUUGAUCCAAAGCGUCGCCUCUACUUCUCGCCACACUGAAAUCUCCUAUGCCAGGUUCUGGACGCUCGUCACCAAAUGGGCAAUGGACAAGUAUCAUGUCCCCAUAGUGGCCACUUCUCCACUCUCCUCGAUUGGCGUCUUCCACACUACAAAGAUCAUAGUCACUGAUCCUUCCAAGUUUCUCUUUGUUGGCUCAAUUCCUGAGUCCAUGUAUGCUUGUGUAUCAGGGGAGAGCCACAUCAUCAAGACCUACAAGGAGUUUAUUCCUUCGGGUCCCAGAGAGCUGACUCCAUAGAUGCUUCAGUCCAUCAACGAUGCCGACAAACCUGCUCCCAGGGGCAAGAAAACAGAGAAAGGGAAAGACAAGAAAGUGGUCAAAGGGGCGAAAGGCCCUUCUCCUAAAAAGCGAAAACCAACAAAGGCAGCCCAAUCACCUCCACCGAAGAAGAGGAAAACCCAGCCUAAACGAAAACUCAUUCUUGCUUCUUCCUCAAGUGAAUCAGAGGAUGAAAGUUCAGACUCAGAGGAGUCAUUUCGAGGCGACUCUCCUCCCCGUUCGCCUUCACAUGAGGUACCAGUUACAACCAAACCUGUCUCUUCUCCCCUAUCACUAUCUCUAUUUCCAUUCCUCCCAUAACUUCCUCCACUCAAAUUACACCCACUUCUAUUCCUGUACCACCUCCCAUUUUCUCAGACGCUACAAAAACAACAACUACUGGAGUUCGAACCAACGUAUCUGAUACGGGGGCUCAUACUUCAGCACCCGAACACACACCAACAAACGAACAUACUUCCGCACCCGAACCUACUCCCAUAACCAAACCUCCACCAUCGCCUUCAUCUCCCAAUCACUCAGCCGAAAUCGAGACAAUUCUAGGAGGGAAGAUAUGAUCUUCGAUUCUGUUUACUACAGUCCCUACCAGGUUGAAAGCAAUUAUGAUGAUGAUGCACCUGUCACCAAAAAGCACAUCAAGGAACUUCAUGAGAAAAUUGAUAAUCUCAUCGCUUCUUCCUCCUCCUCUCGGUCCCAUAUCACAAAAGCUGCCAUUCAGGGGAUGGUUGAUACUUUCACCAAGGCACACGAAGCCUCCAUCAACUCUGCUACUGUUGCUAUAGAUGCAUCCACAAAGGCCUGUACUGCUGCGACGAAAAAAGUCGAAAAACUAUUUCGCGAUGCUAACACCUUUUUGGAGGCUUUACAGGGGGCAGCUGAAUCUAAUGCAGUGAAGAUUGAUUCGGUUGUUGAGAAGCUUGCUACUUCCUUGGAAACAGAAAAGCAUCACUUUGCCAGUCUUCGUUUGUGACAACCUGAUAUUUCAACUCUUUGUAACGACCAAAAUGGGUCGAGUAUUGUAACCACUUCCGAAUAAUAAAAAGUUACUUUCAUAAUAAAAUGUACAAAUAAGUUCUACUUAAUUAUCUUCUAUGAUUAAAUGUCUUUGAACCAUGAUCGUACGUGAAAAGAACGCCCAAAUCCGACUUCAUAUAGCGAAGUUAUGAUUUUUCCAAGUUCGGCUUAGCAACAGACAGCUAAAAAACUCGAAUCGGUAAUCGAGCGACUUUUGGCCGGAAUGACUAAACGAGAAUCGAAGGUCUCGACAAUGGUAUUCCAGCGGUAAAAAGUCUGGCAAAAACCGACAUCAGAUAAAGAAGUUAUGAAUUUUCUAAGAAAUUCCUUAAACACGAUGGAUUUUUAAUAAAUAAUAAAAAAAUAAUUUUGGAAUUUGCCGACGGAGUCUAAACGAAAGUUGUAGAGCGUAGUCUCACCUACGCGAGGAUAUAAAGACCAUCGAAAACGGAGUUCGUAUGAAGAAGAUAUGAAUUUUUGAAGUUUAUUAAAUAAAUUAAUUAUUUAUUUAAUUCAAAAUUCGGAUAUUAUCCGAAGGGGAGUCAGCAUCCUCCUUCGAAGUACGCGCUGCGUACUCCUAUACGCCCCGCGUAACCGAGAGGAUUGGCCUCUAAUCGUCCACGUCGCACUAUCCGAAGAGACCGACCCAUCCGACCCGUCUGACCCGUCCGACCCGACGUCCCAUCCGACCCGGCGUCCCAUCCGACCCGCGUACCCAGCAACCCGUCCCAUCCGAACCGAGGCAGUCGAGGCUUCGGUCAUGCAUGACGUACGCGUACGCGCUGCGUACGAGCGUACGCCCCGCGUACCGAGGCAGACCAGCCUUACUAUAAAUAGGAUGCGAGGGUUUCCAAAGAAAGGGUUCAUUUCUCUUCUCUCUCUCUCAACUUUGCCUCGUUUUCCGUGUCCGUUCAAACCCGAAGCUCUGGUCUUUUUGGCUCAAGUCCCGAAGGUCGAUUUUACUCCCGAGAUUCCCGAGAAUCCCGAGGAAAAUCCGUUUCCCGAGACGAAACUCUGCCCGGUUUUCCAUCUCGCUAUCUCCAAAACUUUCAAGUGAGUUUCAUACCCCUUAAUCAACCUUUUUAAUUAUUCUAAAUACUUUUAUAUGCUUUCAAGGGGGGGAUUACAAGUAAAACACACGAGUAUUAUCGUGUGUUACAUAAAGAAACUCUUUUAUAUACUGUUAUAUAUUCAAAUCACAUGCGAUUUAUAAACAUUUAAAGGAACUUUUAUAUAUAUAUAACAUAUGUCACAAUAGCAUUUUACCUUUUAAAAUAUAAUGUUGUUGUAAUGCAUGUAUAAACUAAACUGUUCUUAGAUUUUUCUUGUCUAUCCUAGACUCUACACCAAAAAUCUAUACUUUCAUAAACAAGUGAUUCCUUUUCUCAAUAUUUCUAAACAAACAAGACACGCUUUUUGGAAACUAUAAUAGGUAUAGUUUUACGAACAGAUUUCUAACUCUUAUGUACUAGAAACACAUAUUUCAAGAAGUUUACUUUCGUAUACAAGAACAAACGUAACAUUUUAACAAGUAGAUCUGUUUUUAUACCACGGAUUUGUGAGACACUAACUUCAUGUACGUUCGAGUACACAUUUCAAGUCCUGUAUUAUAUACCAGAAUCCCUUGGAGGGGGAGCAUGGUGUUUGUGUAUAGAUCUAUACGGGCUUGACAACCCGCGCCCUGACUGUUAGCUGCAGUCCACCGUUUGGGGUGACAAACGUCAUAACAUUCCAACGCCUGAAGAACGUUGUGUAUAGGCAUUCAGAGUCAAUAGUAUGGUUAUAAAACUCACAAGGGGUAUUAAAAAUGCAUUGAUUUACAAGGUUUUCAAACUCAUUGGUUAUUUUACAUUUACAUACAUUUUGGAAACAAACAUUGGUCUUGAGUGAAGGCUACUUUUAUACUAGUAGAAAAUAUAGGAUUUUCUAAACACAAACAAACAAAGAUAAAACAUUUCAUUUCAUUCAAACAUUGUCACUUAAAUACUUAUGAAAUUCACCAGCUUAAAUGCUGAUCUACUCUUUCAAAAUUACUUGUAUGUCCCAGGAAAUCAGUAAUUUCAGGUAUUCAUUUCGCUUUUGAUGAAGGGAUGCUGCGGCGCCAGUUUAAUCUCGUAUUUUGACAUCAUAUUGUAAUUGAGUUUUGAACAUGUAACUUUUGACAAAUGUAAACUUUCAAUUAUAUAUAUGAUGGUUGUAUUGCUUUCUUUACUAUGUAUUCAUUUGUUACGUUACCACAUGAAGUCAUCCGCCCCCGAACGUUUCCGCCGUUCAGGUUUGGGGGUGUGACAGAUUGGUAUCAGAGCAAUGUUUAUAGUGAACUAAGUAUAUCGAACCACAUAAGAUAUACAAACUAUAAAUGCUUAAGGGACUAAUACUCUCUGACAAAACAAAUUUUCUUUUUACACUUAAGCAGCAUUUCGUUCAACUUAAAUUGAUAGUUCAUUUAAGUACAAUUACAUGCAUACCACAAACUAUUUUCAUGUUAUACAACUAUACAAGUAUUUAGACAAGUUGACACUACGAUUGAGACUCGAUAUAUGUAAUCAGAUUUUGGACAAAUAUAGCGUGAUCAACUAUAUUUGCCCAAGAUUGGACCAACGUAUAUCGAGGAAUGAUCGUAGUAAGCAACAAGUCAAAACUUACCAAACCAUUACAAGAAUCAAACACAAGAAUUUAAAUACUAUAGGAGUAUUUGCUAUCUAAACUAGUUUAACUUACAUGUUUUACAUGUUCCGACUUUAUUCAAUUCUUAUAACCCUAUUUCUCGUACAGUCAAAUGGCUGGAUUUCACCACCCUGGCGACCCCUACUUUCCCAACCAAGGCAACGGAGGAUGGAUCGAAGAUGAUCCCGAAGAGGACGAGGAACCCAUAGAAGUGGGUGAUGACUCCGGUACCGACUCAGAGCCGGAAGUUAUCGAUCCACCACCCAUUCAACCUCCCGUCUUCGUAAGGAACUUUCAAGGACCGACUCCCGUCUGGGGAAGUCACCUCCACCAUUGGAGCCAACAGCAAAACCUACGCCCUCCCUACGGCAUGUGCCGGGACUUCUAUGAUGUCCGCGGCGGAGGUUCGGCUGAUCGAGCACUCCCGGUAAUGGUGGGUAAGUUAGCCAAUCAGUCCUAUCAGUCUGGAGUACAAGCUAGUCGACUCCGGGAUAUCAACGUGGAAGUGCAGGUUCACACUUCUGACAUCCGUAGGCUGGACAAGAUGCAAGACAACGCUCAAUUCCAAACCGAAGCGUUUCAAGCGCAAAUGAUUGCAGCCCUCGCCGAACUAAGGGAACAACAAGCCGCUUUCGAUAGGCGUCUAAUGGAGUCAAAGCAAUCAGAUACGGAGUCAAGCUCCAAGCGCAACCUUCGACGCAAGUAGUGCUUGUCAAGGACUCAAAUUUUGUUAUAGCUUAGGACCUCGGCUAAAAGUCUUUAAAUUUCUCGAACUUUGUAAUCGGAGACCCUUAUAGGGGUCAAAUUUUCAUGAUCGUUGUAACAACUUUUAUAUUAAUAUAAGUGGCACUAUUACUACUAUGUUGAGUAUUUCGUUCGAACCUUGAAUGGUCUUUGUGAACCCAAAUACUUGUUUCAUACCUUCAGUCUUACAAAUAACUUUCAUUCUUCUAUUUUAAGACUCAUACUAUCAUCUGUUGUUGAACUAUAGCGAUUUAGUUCAUGAGACACAUACAUUUUCCAUUCUAUGAAAUUCUUAUCCUUGUCUUUUCAAUCUAUAGUUGAAGGAUGCCUCCGCGUAGGAAUCCAAGGCGAAACAACGGUGAGGAAGCACCUAUACCACCACCACCUCCACCACCCCAAUUUGAUGCUGUAAUGUUUCAAGCAGCAGUCACCGCAGCGGUGGCAGCUGCCAUGUCACAGAUCAAUAACUCGAGUACUAAUGGCUCGGGAUCUGGCACACACCUAUCCAACCAUGGCGAGAGUCAUGGACCACCUCGAGAAUGCACCUAUAAGGACUUCACUAAUGCCAAGCCCCGGAUGUUUUAUGGUACUGGUGGUGUGAUGGCCCUGAGGCAGUGGAUUGAAAGGACGGAGGCAGUCUUUGAAAUCUGCUCCUGCCCCGAGCACAGCAAGGUCAAAUUUGCAACUUUCACCCUUCUCGAUAAAGCUUUAACUUGGUGGAAUGGCCACGUUAAAGUACUUACCCUAAUCGUGGCAAACUCCAUAAGCUGGGAGAGCUUGAAGGCCAUGAUGAUGAGAGAAUACUGCCCACGGGGAGAAAUUCAAAAGCUUGAACACGAGCUAUGGACUCUCGGAAUGGUGGGUACCGACAUCGCUACUUAUACCAACAGAUUCUGCGAACUGGCAAUCCUUUGUCCAGAUAUGAUUGCUCCCGAGAGCAAGAAGAUAGAAAGGUACAUCUGGGGACUGACGCCCCAAAUGCGAUCAAGCGUGUUAGCUUCUAAACCUGACACCUUUGAAAGUGCUAAGGAACUGGCACAAUCUCUGAUCGACUACGGAGGUCAUCAGAACUCAACCACUUCUGCACCAGCACCACAGAAAGGAAACAACAACAACAACAACAACAACAACAACAACAACAAUGGCAGGAAGAGAGCGUGGAUUAAAGGGAAGGGUGGGUCUUCCCAAGAAUCCGCAAAGAAACAACUGGUGUCAGUAAAUGCUGCCAUUGUACCUGCUACAGCCCCUACAAAUACCUACCCAACAAAGCCUUAUAUAGGCAACCUCCCAAAAUGCACCAAAUGCAAUUACCACCACCAUGGACCUUGUCGAGAUAUGCAGUGCGCCAACUGCAGCAGGAAAGGACACACAGCCCGUUUCUGCAAGGAACCCGCAAAGCCGAUCACUCAAGUUCCCGGUGCGGGUGUAGGGCAGGCUUGCUACGGUUGUGGCGAGGUGGGCCACUACAAGAGAAACUGUCCUAAGGCAGCAGGCACCGGAGGUGUGGGACGAGUUUUGGCAAUAGGCCACGACGAAGCUGUAGCUGACCCAACUAUAGUUGCUGGUACGUUCCUUCUCGAUAAUUCAUACGCAUGCAUAUUAUUCGAUAGUGGAGCGGAGAGAAGCUUCGUGAGUCAAAACUUUAUUCAUUUACUUAAACCUAAACCUAGCAAGUUAGAAAAAUCAUUCACUGUAGAGAUGGCCAAUGGAAAAACCGAAAACACAAAUUGCAUAUACAUGGGCUGUACGUUAACAUUAGACGGCCAUUCUUUCCCAAUCAAUCUCAUGCCGGUUCAAAUUAAAAGUUUCGACGUCAUAGUCGGCAUGGAUUGGUUGAGUCUUCUUCGCGCCGACAUCAUGUGCUUUGAGAAAGCAGUCCGUCUUAACCUCCCUAACAACGAAACAUUAGUUAUCUACGGCGACAAAUCUAGUGCAAACCUUCGCAUCAUUUCGUGCAUCCAAGCUCGAAAGUGCUUGCGGAAGGAUUGUCGAGCAUUCCUAGCGCACAUCGUCGAUACAAGUCAAGAACUGAAGGACAUCAAGAGCAUCUCGGUAGUACGCGACUUUCCCGAUAUCUUUCCAGAAGAACUACCAGGAUUACCACCGCAACGCCAAGUCGAGUUCAGAAUCGACUUAAUUCCAGGAGCUACCCCAGUAGCGAAGUCGCCUUAUCGUCUUGCACCAGCAGAGAUGCAGGAACUUUCCAGUCAACUUAAUGAACUCCUUCACAAAGGAUUCAUAAGACCAAGUUUCUCACCUUGGGGAGCACCGGUCUUGUUUGUAAAGAAGAAAGACGGAUCGUUCCGUAUGUGCAUCGACUACAGAGAGCUGAACAAACUUACUGUCAAGAACCGCUAUCCUCUACCCCGUAUCGACGACCUAUUCGAUCAACUUCAAGGGGCGAACUACUUCUCCAAAAUAGACCUGCGAUCCGGAUAUCACCAAUUACGAGUUCUAGAGGGGGACAUUCCAAAGACAGCCUUCCGAACUCGUUAUGGACACUACGAAUUCGUGGUGAUGCCGUUCGGAUUAACCAAUGCACCAGCAGUAUUUAUGGACCUAAUGAAUAGGGUAUGCCGCCCUUACUUGGAUCAGUUCGUCAUCGUCUUUAUCGAUGAUAUACUUAUCUACUCUCGAAGUGAGGAAGAGCAUAGUCAACACCUACGAAAAGUCCUAGAAACACUGCGAACGGAGAAACUCUAUGCGAAGUUCUCUAAAUGCGAAUUUUGGAUUCGAAGAGUCGAAUUUUUAGGUCACGUUGUUAGCGAGAAAGGUAUACACGUGGACCCCUCCAAAAUUAAGGCUAUUGAGAACUGGUCGGCACCAAAGACACCUACAGAAAUUCGUCAAUUUCUAGGUCUAGCUGGCUACUAUCGCAGAUUCAUAAAGAACUUUUCGAGCAUUGCGAAACCUCUUACUUCAUUAACCCAGAAAGGUGUGGCCUUUGACUGGGAAGCGAAACAAGAGAAGGCAUUCCAGACACUAAAGCAGGCCUUGUGCACCGCACCGAUACUAUCCCUCCCCGAAGGGAUAGAAGACUUCGUAGUGUAUUGCGAUGCUUCAAAUCAAGGACUUGGUUGUGUUCUUAUGCAGAGAGGGAAGGUUAUCGCUUAUGCCUCCCGACAGCUUAAGACACACGAAGUGAACUAUACGACACACGACCUCGAGUUAGGAGCAGUGGUAUUUGCUCUGAAGAUCUGGAGGCACUACUUAUACGGAACAAAGAGUACUAUAUUCACCGAUCACAAGAGCCUUCAACACAUUUUCGAUCAGAAGGAACUCAACAUGCGACAACGACGAUGGGUUGAGUUACUGAAUGACUACGAAUGCGAAAUUCGUUAUCAUCCUGGCAAGGCCAACGUAGUAGCCGACGCCCUCAGUCGAAAGGAAUACACUGGUCGGAGGGUCAAAUCUCUGACCAUGACUAUCCAUUCCCACUUAUCCACACAAAUUAAGGAAGCACAAAUGGAAGCUUUGCAACCUGAAAAUGUGGCGGGUGAAUCCCUGCGAGGAAUGGAGAAGAAUUUAGAAGUCAAGGGUGGCGGAGCCUACUAUCUCAUGGACCGAAUCUGGACCCCAAAUCAUGGUGGUUUCAGAAACGUAGUCAUGACCGAGGCUCACAACUCAAGAUAUUCCGUUCACCCGGGUUCAGAUAAAAUGUAUCUGGAUCUUAAGAAACUGUACUGGUGGCCUAACAUGAAAGCAGAAAUUGCUACCUUCGUGAGUAAAUGUCUUACUUGCGCUAAGGUUAAGGUCGAGUAUCAGAAACCGUCAGGACUACUACAACAACCAGAGAUACCGGAAUGGAAAUGGGAGCGGAUUACUAUGGACUUCAUAACCAAGUUACCCAAGACGACAAGUGGACUCGAUACCAUAUGGGUCAUUGUCGACAGAUUGACCAAAUCCGCACAUUUCCUACCCAUCAAGGAGACUGACAAAAUGGAGAAGCUUACAAGAACUUACUUAAGGGAAGUAGUGCGACUGCAUGGUGUUCCGAUAUCCAUUAUCUCCGAUCGAGAUAGUAGAUUCACUUCAAGAUUCUGGCAGUCACUACAAAGUUCCCUGGGAACUAGGCUAGACAUGAGUACAGCCUACCACCCACAGACAGACGGACAAAGUGAGAGAACAAUACAAACUUUAGAAGACAUGCUGAGAGCCUGCGUGAUUGACUUUGGAAAGGCAUGGGAUAUUCAUUUACCCCUUGUCGAAUUUUCAUACAACAAUAGUUAUCAUACAAGCAUAAAGGCUGCUCCGUUUGAAGCCCUCUAUGGUCGAAAGUGCAGAUCCCCUCUGUGCUGGACUGAAGUUGGCGAUACCCAGUUAGCUAGAGGAAGAGUUCCUGAAAGCACUCUCACCGGUCCGGAGAUCAUACGUGAAACAACAGAGAAGAUCGUUCAGAUUCGUGAACGAUUGAAAGCCUCAAGAGACCGACAGAAAAGCUACGCUGACCAAAGGAGGAAACCUUUGGAAUUCCAGGUAGGAGACCACGUCUUAUUAAAGGUCUCACCGUGGAAGGGUUUAAUACGAUUUGGAAAGCGUGGGAAACUAAAUCCAAGAUACAUAGGGCCUUUCGAGAUUCUUGCCAGAAUCGGCCCUGUGGCUUACAAGCUUAACCUACCGCGCGAACUUAGUAACAUCCAUCCAACCUUCCACGUCUCAAACUUGAAAAAGUGUCUGUCCGACGAGACUCUUGUUAUUCCACUCGACGAGAUCGAGAUCAACGAGAGCCUCAACUUUGUGGAAGAACCAGUAGAAAUCAUGGACCGAGAGGUCAAACAAACAAAACAAAGUCGCAUACCCAUCGUGAAGGUUCGCUGGAACGCCAAGCGGGGACCCGAAUUCACAUGGGAACGCGAAGAUCAGAUGAAACAAAAGUACCCUCAUCUCUUUCAUGUUCACUAGUAUCUUUACUACUUUAAAUUUCGGGACGAAAUUCUCUCUAACGGGGGGAUGAUGUGACAACCCGAUAUUUCAACUCUUUGUAACGACCAAAAUGGGUCAAGUAUUGUAACCACUUCUGAAUAAUAAAAAGUUACUUUCAUAAUAAAAUGUAUAAAUAAGUUCUACUUAAUUUCCUUCUAUGAUUAAAUGUCUUUGAACCAUGAUCGUACGUGAAAAGAACGCCCAAAUCCGACUUCAUAUAGCGAAGUUAUGAUUUUUCCAAGUUCGGCUUAGCAACAGACAGCUAAAAACUCGAAUCGGAGAUCGAGCGACUUUUGGCCGGAAUGACCUAAACGAGAAUCGAAGGUCUCGACAAUGGUAUUCCAGCGGUAAAAAGUCUGGCAAAAACCGACAUCAGAUAAAGAAGUUAUGAAUUUUCAAAGAAAUUCCUUAAACACGAUGGGUUUUUAAUAAAUAAUAAAAAUAUAAUUUUGGAAUUUGCCGACGGAGUCUAAACGAAAGUUGUAGAGCGUAGUCUCACCUACGCGAGGAUAUAAAGACCAUCGAAAACGGAGUUCGUAUGAAGAAGAUAUGAAUUUUUGAAGUUUAUUAAAUAAAUUAAUUAUUUAUUUAAUUCAAAAUUCGGAUAUUAUCCGAAGGGGAGUCAGCAUCCUCCUCCGAGGUACGCGCUGCGUACCCCUGUACGCCCCGCGUAACCGAGAGGAUUGGCCUCUGAUCGUCCACGUCGCGCUAUCCGAAGAAACCGACCCAUCCGACCCGUCCGAAGCCCCGACCCGUCCGACCCGACGUCCCAUCCGACCCGGCGUCCCAUCCGACCCGCGUACCCAGCAACCCGUCCCAUCCGAACCGAGGCAGUCGAGGCUUCGGUCAUGCAUGACGUACGCGUACGCGCUGCGUACGAGCGUACGCCCCGCGUACCGAGGCAGACCAGCCUUACUAUAAAUAGGAUGCGAGGGUUUCCAAAGAAAGGGUUCAUUUCUCUUCUCUCUCUCUCAACUUUGCCUCGUUUUCCGUGUCCGUUCAAACCCGAAGCUCUGGUCUUUUUGGCUCAAGUCCCGAAGGUCGAUUUUACUCCCGAGAUUCCCGAGAAUCCCGAGGAAAAUCCGUUUCCCGAGACGAAACUCUGCCCGGUUUUCCAUCUCGCUAUCUCCAAAACUUUCAAGUGAGUUUCAUACCCCUUAAUCAACCUUUUUAAUUAUUCUAAAUACUUUUAUAUGCUUUCAAGGGGGGGAUUACAAGUAAAACACACGAGUAUUAUCGUGUGUUACAUAAAGAAACUCUUUUAUAUACUGUUAUAUAUUCAAAUCACAUGCGAUUUAUAAACAUUUAAAGGAACUUUUAUAUAUAUAUAACAUAUGUCACAAUAGCAUUUUACCUUUUAAAAUAUAAUGUUGUUGUAAUGCAUGUAUAAACUAAACUGUUCUUAGAUUUUUCUUGUCUAUCCUAGACUCUACACCAAAAAUCUAUACUUUCAUAAACAAGUGAUUCCUUUUCUCAAUAUUUCUAAACAAACAAGACACGCUUUUUGGAAACUAUAAUAGGUAUAGUUUUACGAACAGAUUUCUAACUCUUAUGUACUAGAAACACAUAUUUCAAGAAGUUUACUUUCGUAUACAAGAACAAACGUAACAUUUUAACAAGUAGAUCUGUUUUUAUACCACGGUUUUGUGAGACACUAACUUCAUGUACGUUCGAGUACACAUUUCAAGUCCUGUAUUAUAUACCAGAAUCCCUUGGAGGGGGAGCAUGGUGUUUGUGUAUAGAUCUAUACGGGCUUGACAACCCGCGCCCUGACUGUUAGCUACAGUCCACCGUUUGGGGUGACAAACGUCAUAACAUUCCAACGCCUGAAGAACGUUGUGUAUAGGCAUUCAGAGUCAAUAGUAUGGUUAUAAAACUCACAAGGGGUAUUAAAAAUGCAUUGAUUUACAAGGUUUUCAAACUCAUUGGUUAUUUUACAUUUACAUACAUUUUGGAAACAAACAUUGGUCUUGAGUGAAGGCUACUUUUAUACUAGUAGAAAAUAUAGGAUUUUCUAAACACAAACAAACAAAGAUAAAACAUUUCAUUUCAUUCAAACAUUGUCACUUGAAUACUUAUGAAAUUCACCAACUUAAAUGCUGAUCUACUCUUUCAAAAUUACUUGUAUGUCCCAGGGAUUCAGUAAUUUCAGGUACUAAUAUGCUUUUGACGAAGAGAUGCUGCGGCGCCAGUUUAAUCUCAUAUUUUGACAUCAUAUUUUAAUUGGUUUUGAACAUGUAACUUUUGACAAAUGUAAACUUUCAAUUAUAUAUAUGAUGGUUGUAUUGCUUUCUUUACUAUGUAUUCAUUGUUACGUUACNUCCGCCCCCGAAUGUUUCCGCCGUUCAGGUUUGGGGGUGUGACAUCGUUAGACCCUUGAAGCUGACAACAAAUCCUUCCAGGCAGCCGUUGAGGAUCGCUUGACCAAGCUCCAAGAAGACCUUGCCUCGGAAAACUCGGUGAUGGAUACACUUGCACGCAAAACAACUGCUCUAAAAAUCAAGAGUCUUCAGCUUUCCCAAACUAAGAAGGAGGUUAAUUCUCUUCGAUCCCAGCGAGCUGUGAUUUCGAGUUGUGUUUCAGAUGUCCACGGAGCCCUCUCAAACAUCAUUGAAGCGCAUGACCUGAUUGUCAACUACUCAGUGAGGCGAACUCUUGCUGGGAAACUUGCUCCUGCCCUUUCCUUGUUCAGCAAAAUUGAGGGGCUUCCUGAGCAAGUGGUCCAUCCAAAACAAGGGGCAGAAGGAGCUUCAAAGGGCAGUAAUCAAUCUCAACCGCCUCCUACUUCUUCAUCAGCUCCAACUAAAGCAACCGAUCCACCAACAACUGGUCAUGCUUUAGGUUCGGGUGCUCAAGACAAAGGCAAAAAGAUUCUCGAUGACAGUGAUGGAGACGAUGACAAAGAAACCAUUGCUGAUAUCUUGAAGAAAUAGGCAAGGGACAAGGAACCAGACGUGAGUGCUUGGAUCGCUAGGGAAGCCGAGGCAAAUGAAAGGAGGAUGAAGGAGGCUCAUGAUCUCCUUGAAAGUCGAAAAACCCUAUUCUUUCCAUGGACUCUUGAGAAGCUUAUCAAAGAAGCUAUCGAGUCCCCCAGCAUCCUCUGGCUUGAACCUGUGAUCUCUUUGGAUAGGGUUAACUCUUUUGACUCUCAGUUUGACAUGCCCUUGACCCGAAAGGCCUUUAUAUUUCAUGCAUUUCCCCACAUUGCUGAAGUCCCUCAUCCUCACCCGAAGGUCGAUAGGGAACUUAUUGAUUUUUAUCUGAGGUUUGCUCAGCCUCAGUAUCAGACGUGGAGUGCACAGAAGAUCGUCAACAUUCGGGUCAUCAAACCCUUUCGGGGGUCAGAUAAAGCCGAACAUGCCAUUACUCUCGCUAAUCUUCCUAACCUGAAUCGUCACAAUUGGAUCAUCCUGCAUAAUAUCCUCCUCACCAAUGAAGCUAAAUAUGGGCCGAUCAUAGAUCACUUCAAGAGGAUGUUGGUUUGUUAUAUCAUGGAGGUUGCUAAGAUGGAUCAAGAAAUUGCUAAUGUAUUCAGGAAGAAGCCCACCAUCUCCCCAGUCGGUUCUGCAAGUGAUUUGAAUAAAAUGCAGAUAGGGAGGAUCGAUCCAAAGCGAAAAUCAGUUAUGUCCACCAGGAAUGAAGGACAAAAAUGUCUGUUCGCCUUGGCUGACAAACAUCUUUAUACCAUUUCGUGUCUGGAGCAUGUUCUGGGGAUCAUCAAUCGGUGUAAGCAAAAUUCUGAAGAUGAUAAGAAGUACUUCAAUGACAUGAUCAACUGGUAUAUUCAUUUCAGACAAACUAUUCUUGCCAUCAUUCCUUGCCUGUUUGAUACCACGAAGAAGGUUAAUGCAGUAGGAUCUAGUAAGCCAAAGUAGAGUCUCGCCCCAAUUGACGCAAAGGGGGAGAUUGUAAGGUCCGUUAUGUGUUGCGUCUUGGGCUCGGUCCUUAGUCCAAUUUUGUAUCCGGAUUGGGCCUGUCCAUCCGUGAUUUAAUUAUUAGGGUUUAGUAUUUAUAGAUGAUUGCAUGCAUCUUUGUAAAUAGCUGUUUUAAUCGAUCAUUCAUAGUGAUCACGGUUUUAUCGAUUAAAACCCUAAAAGCCUCUACAGUGGAAGUUCUUUAUCGAGCUCUGCUAAUGCGUGAAUCUAUUGAACCAUUUAGCUCAUUAUUGAUUCAUUCUCUUGUUUGUUAUUCUAUUUGCAUUAUUCUGAUUAACCUGUGUGAGAUCUAAACGAUCAAAGAGUUUUUCAACUCAUCACUCAGCAAGCUUUGGAGUUGACUUAAUGUGGUUUCCUCCUUGUCUAGAUGAUAAGUCAUAAUGAACUAAUCAUAACAACUAUGCAAUGAGUGCAAGACUAUGUCAAUAGCCAAUUCAACAGAUGAUCCAUGUAACGUUGCAUGCGUUGCAAGUGGGUCGUGACAGACUCUCCAUCCUUCAUCUUGCUUGUUAUGAGGGACUUGACUAUGUCGUAUCUCUCUUAACGAGCUCGUUGAUGGAACUUUUCCAUCAAGUCCUUGUUCAUAUCAUAUGGCCAAUAGUCCUCAUAGAACCUUUGUAGCUCAAGAGCCAUAGUAGCCACCAUGAUGCAUGACACUUUGGUUGCAUCAUUGCAAUGUCACCUAUACUCAACUAUCUCUUUAGGAGUAGAUUUUGUUUCAUCAAUCUCGUUCAACUCGUUUUCGAGAACAUAUUCCUUGUGCUCGAAGUGUAAAGUCGUCUUGAUGUUGUGUAUCCAAUCAUUUUAAUUAGUACCAUCAAAAGUGACUUUUGAUGAGAUGCUUAAGAGCGAGAAGUGGUUGGAGUUGUUGUUGGAGGAACCAGAAGCGUUGUUGAAAGUUAACAUCUGAAAAGGAAAAAGGACAAGUUUUGAUUAGAUAAGGAAAUCCUUAAUAUAACACCAAAAUGAAAUAUUAAGGCUAUGACCCAACUAAAUAAUUCACAAUUAAGAAGAGGUAUGUCAUAAUCUAAUUGCAAAUUAUUUAAAGGUUGGUAAUGGUUUACCAAUUUGACCACGAAAAAUGAAAUUUAAACGAAUUAGGUUUUAAAUGAAAUUCCUAGAUCUUUUGAGAUUCAUUGAACUAUUCAAUGACAUGUUUAAUAUCGAUUAUGCCCUUUCCAUUUGUGAUUGGGAUAUCGAGGAUCACAAACAAGGUGUUAAUAACCAUGCAAAUUAGCUCGGUACUCUCAAUGUCAUUUAUCACCUAAUUAAUAUGUCGGUUAACCACACACACUCCAUUAAUCAAUGAUAAUUUACAGGACACCCAUUGCCACCCUUUAUAAGUCCAUAUUAGUGUGUAGGUUAACCAUACACGCUCCACUGAUGACUUUUAUAAAGUGCAAUGUGCAAUUUCAUGGAUUAGCAUCAAAUUCACCUUUUCCUAAAGUAACUAGGAUUGAGAAUUUAAUAAAAACUUUUAGUUACUUUAUUUAUUCCAUUAUACUUAUUAAUGAGAAUUAAGUGUCCUAUAAAACCCAUUCGUCUAACGACCCUCCACCAAUCAAGGAAGCGGUGGGUUAGAGUGGACACCCAUUCAACUGCCAUAUUAUAGACAAUUUCAUUAUGCCCCCUUAUAGAUUGGCUUUGUGAAUGAGACGUACUAGCGGUUUAACUGACUUGUCUUAUACGUAUAGUAAAUAUUUAAACUUUUAAUAUUGCAUAUAGUAUAAUGAUGUAUUUUAGACAUUUCAAAAUACUAGGGUUUUAAAUCUAUUCAAAAUUUCGAAAAUUAAAAAAAAAUUUAAUGUAAUUUUAAAUUUUAAAUUUUUGAUUUAAUAAUUAUCUAUUAAUUUAACCAUUAAUUAAUUUAUUAAAUCAAAUAAAGAUUAUUCAUUAAAUUAAAUAAAUUAAUUUAACCUAAUUCCUUACUCCCUAGAUUUCGAAAAUUUUGGGUGGGAUGCACCAAAAUCUUUAAUUAUCUAAUUAAGUAAUUAACAAAAUAAUUACGAAAAAUAACAACCCACCCAAGAAACCCUAAUUUCGAAAUCCAUGACUUAAGGUGGAAGGAAAGGCUUUCAGUCAUUGCCUUAUUUUUGAAAACCUCAGGGUUAGGAAACCCUGGAUCUCGAAAAUUAUGAGGCCAAAGAAAAGGGUUUUAAAUCCCUUAGCAAAUUUCGAAAAAUGGGGUUAUGAAACCCUGAUUUGCAAAAAAUCCAUGGCCUAGGGUUUAAUUUCCAUAAAUCAUAAUUUUGUCAAAUUCAAUCAAUUACAUCAAAUCUAAUUGAAAACAAAACCAAUAGCUCUGAUAUCAAUGAUGAUUUUUGAGAAUUUAAACAAUCCUAUGUGUGCAUGCAACCUUAAAUAAUUGGAUCUAUGUUUUCUCUAUUAGACAUAGAAACAUAAACACAAAAACAAGAAACCCUAACAUGCUUCUAGUAUUUUCGAAUUUAAAAAAAUGUGGAUUAGAAAACAUACCUUAUUGUUAUAUUUUAAUAACAAUGGGUUCAUUGAAGAUCUUGAACUUUGAGAUCAAGUGUCACAAGUGUGACACCUCUAAUGGAUCACAAACACACCAAGCAAGAGGAUGAGAGGAGAGAGGAGGGAAGUUACUCAAAGUUUCAGAUCUUCUAGGGUUUCCCAGUGAUAGCCGAAACUUAUAGGGGUGAGACUCAUUUUAUAUUUUAGGUUGCUUAGUCCCAAAGCUUGGGUUUGAUGGUGGAAACCCUAAUUUCCAGCUUAAGGCCUAAGGAGCCCAUGGACUCCCCUUCACAAGACAUUAGAUGAAAACAAUGGUGUCUCCCUAUAGUAUUUGUCCAACCCUCUUUAGGGUUGUCCAAGAGCCCAAAACCAGAACUAUUAAUUAAUUGCUAAUAAGCCCCUGUACUUUUAAUUAAUUACUUUAAUCCCAAAGUUAAUUCUAAAUUAAUUUCUGAUUAAAUAUUAAUUAAACAACAUGAUGUCUAAUUAAUAUAUUAUUUUCAUAAUACAUUCAUAAAUCAUUUAUUCCACUUUAUUAGCUAAAUAAUAAAUUCAACCUCUCUCUCCAAAAGUCAUCAUGUCUAGUUGCUAGUAUGAAGGCAACCUAAAAGGAUUGUGCUACUAUCAAUUCAAGUAUAUACGAAUUAUAGGUAUGGGCUUAGACACCUAAUCCAACAUCAUUUAGGUAUGAUUUUUUGUAUGAUUAUUGAUAUUUAGUUUCAAAACGUAAUAAAUAUUAACCGGUGUUGUUUUUAUUCCAUCACAUAUCAAAAUUAGGAUAAAACGAUGUAAAUUUGGGAUGAAAAUGACCAUACUACCAAUAUAUCUUAGAUCUAUGGAGAUAAAAACAAAGGUUUAGACUUUAUACAUCCCAAGAGUCUAGAAGAUGGAUUAGACGGACAAGCUAUGUUAUAGUUGCUCUUCUCCUUUCACCAAAGCUCAACACCUUCUUCAAUAUUACACCAAAACACCAAGAAUAAUCUCUCAAAGAACCAAAAAGGAUUAAGGUUAGUAACGAUAAUUUCAGGGGAUGGAGGAUGCCUAAUGAGGCAACCAUAGAAGUUAGAGCCCUUAAAUAACGACCAAGGCCCGAGGUUUAGGGAUUUUAACCCCAACCACCACUGCGUUGUGGCGAGGACUUCACUGUGCUGCCAUUAAAUGAUUUGCGGCUUGGUCCAGGUCUUAUCGUGCCAUGGUAUCGGGAAAUAUCAAAGUUCUUAACUUCAAAAUAAAAUAUUUGCACAUAGAAUACAUAUAUUACAAUUCUACCAUACUUGAAUCAGAUUUCAUCCUCGAAAUCCACUUCGAAAAGUAGCUCUAGAUAGCUCUUGCGCAUAUCAUCCUCGGGUUCCCAAGUCCACUUGGAACACUUCUGGUGCUUCCACUACACCUUCAACAAAUCUACUUCCUUGUGUCGCAACGUCUUUGUCCUCUUAUCCAAGAUUGCAAUCGGUCGCUCGAUAUAAUGCAGAUGCUCGUCCACAUGAGUAUUAUCCAACAUAACAAUGGAGGUCUCAUCUGCAUUACACUUUCUUAGUUGAGAAACAUGAUAUAUAUAUAGUUCAGCUCAUUAGGUAGAUCCAAAUAGUAAGCAACCUUGCCUACCAUGCCAAUCAAUCUAAAUGGUCCAAUAUAUAUGGGGGCAUAGCUCGCACUGCUUCCAAAACUGGAUGACACCUUUCCAAGAUAACACCUUCAAAAGCGCAUAGUUAGCCACGUGGAACUCAAUAUCAAAACGACGUCGAUAUGUAUUACUCUUCUGUCAACUCUGAGUUGUUUAUAGUCUCAUAUGUACCUACCGAAUAAUCCUUGUGAUCUUGAGCCCCACCUAAGUGAUUCCCAUAACUCUCUGGCCGAUCUCACCCUGGCAAAUCGUGAUUCGACACUUCCUCCCAUGAAGCUGUUGGAUUAGGUGUCUAAUGUCAUAACUAAAUCGGUAUAACUUUAUUGAAUAAAUGCAAAGUCCUUUUUAGGUUUCCCUCAAUAACUAGAAUUAGCUAGAAGUAUCAUUAGGAAAGUGAGGAAAUAAUUUGUUAAUUUAUUAUAUGAUUAAUAAAUUAAUUAGAAAUGGUUAAUAAUUAAUUUAGAAUUAAUCAAAAUUAAUUAGAAAAUAAUUGUGGAUUAAUUAAAGGUGAACGGGUCGAAUUGCAAUUGUUUAAUUGUUAAGCAAGGAAGGCAUUCUAGAACCCUCCAUAGCAUGGACGGUUUUGAUAGGGGUCCAUAAGGGUUUUGGAAGCCUCCUAUAGCUAAUAAGAAUAACUGCAUCGAAUAGAUUAAAUCCUAUUAUUUAAUUAUUCAAAUUAGGGUUUAUCCUACAGAUCCACCAACUAUAAAUACAGACUAUAACCCUAGCAAAAAUUCAAUCCUACAUAUACACAAAAAAGAAAUCAGGUUUCCUCCUAUCUCGUCUCUCCUAAUUCUUUCCAAGGGGUUCUAGGGUAUUAGGUGUAAGCCACUAAAGGCAUCCACACUAUUAGUGCUUGUUUUCUAAUAAAGAAUUUGAAGAGUCAAGGUUGUUAUAUCCGUUUAUAGCUAAAGGUAUGUAUUCUAUUCUUUGUGAUUUUUGAGAAUACAUAGGUUAGAUUAGUUUUUCAUAGUAUGUUUCUAUAAUGAGAAAAUAUCACAUAUCUCUUGGUUGCAUGUGCCCAUGAAAAAGUUUUAUGAUUCCGUCGUGUAAAUCUUUUGUUUUGUAUCCUAAAAAAUCCAUCAGUGGAAUCAUAGUUUAUGUUUUUCUAUUAUAUGUGCAUUGAUGAAAAGCAUAAGAAACAAAAAAUACAUGCUAAAUGUAAAAGCAGCGUGCCUCUCUACUUGCACGACGUGCCCUGUUGGCAUACUGGGUUUUAGGAUUUUCUUGCCUUUUUCAAAUUGUUGGAUAAUUACUAGAUAUAACUGUUUAUAUUCAUUUAUUAAAAUCUGAACAUUUAAACUAGGUAAUUAGAUAAACCCUAAUUCGAAAAUUAAGGAUGAAAAUAAAUAAUUAAUAUUGUUUAAUUAAAAGUCUAAUUAAGAUAAUCACUUAAUUCUUAAAUGAUUUAAUAUAAUUAAUGAAAUAUUUAAUUAAAAGAUAAUUAUUAAAUCUUAAAUGGUUUAAAUAUUUAAUUUAAAGUUAAUUAAGUUAAUAAGAUUUAAAUUUUGUAUUCUUAAAAAGUUUAAAAUACACCCUUACAUAUAUUUAUAAGAGUAUAUAAUACCAUAUGUAAAAGAAUAAUAAUUCAUCAGUAAAACCAAGACCAAGCCUCAUUCAUGAAACCAUGUUAUAAGAGAGGUAUAAGGAAAUGACCUAUAAAAUGAACUUUGAAUGAAUGUCAUUUUCAUUCAUCGCUUCUUUGUGUGGUGGAUUGUCGUUACCCGAAAGGGUUGUGAUAGGACGUAAGUCUCUGUAAAACUAUAAUAUAAAGUACUAGAACAUAUAUAAAAAAAAUCCCAAUCUAAUUACUUAGGAAAAAUGUGAACUUGUAUGCAAAUCUAUGAAAAUGCAGAUCGUGUCUUUAUAAGUCGUUAAUGGAGCAUGCAUGGUUAACCAACAUAGUAAUUUGGGACUCUAAAGUGGAAAUGAUAAGACAACUUGAGUUUAUGAUUAACGGAAGUUGAUUAACGGUAACGGAAAAAGUUUCGAGUUGUCACAUCAUCCCCCCGAUAGAGGGAAUUUCAUCCCGAAAUUCAAACAUAGAAUACAAAUCAUGGACUCGGAAAGAGAUGCGGAUAUUUCUGUUUCAUUUGAUCUUCACACUCCCACAUGAAUUCAGGUCCCCGCUUGGCAUUCCAGCGAACCUUCAUUAUUGGUAUGCGACUUGGUUUUAUUCGAUUGAUCUCUCGAUUCAAGAUUUCGACUGGUUCUUCCAUGAAGUUAAGGUUCUCGUUGAUCUCUGUGAGAACAAGAUCUAUGCGCAGGGACAAGGUUUGAGAACUCAAACCUUGAGUGAAAGCUUAAGAUCAAUCUCUGCUUGCUAAUAAUAGUUCAAGUCUAGACUGGAAAGACUAGUCAAGUCUUAGAUAGAAUAUUCAGCAAAUGAUCAAGACAAUAAAUGAUCAAAGUAAAGAUAAUAAAUGAGAAACAACAUGAAUGUUUUAAUGAACUUAAUAAAGAUGAAAAAAGUGAAUAAAAUAUCUGUGAUUGACUUGUAUUAAAUGCUCCUUUAUAAAGGAGAAAAGGUUACAGCGAAUUAACUACAAUGUUUACAUAGGACCGGACAAAAGAAAUAUUUUUGACAUUCUGAUUGUCCAAAUAAGAUAAUAGACUAAGUCCUACGAGACGUUACAUCAAAACAAGUACAAAUACAAUAAAUACUUUAAGACAAAAUAAGGUUCUUCCGGAUCAGCAUUCAUUCCGGACAUGAGAGUUACUCCGGAAUGUCUUCAGUCUUCUUUUCACCUCCUUUUCUAGUCCAGACAAUAUUCCGGACUACUCCUUCAUUAUUGAAUCCGGAACACCUACUCCGGAACGUCUGAGCUUCGAAAUGUGGACUUAGGAUUGAUAGUGGUUCACUUUCAGGUUCCAACAAUCUCCUCCUAAGUGAAAUUAGCAAUCCAGCAAGCUUAGUUCAUUUCUUCCUCAAUGAAGGUGUAUGCUCGGAAAAACUACUCUCGGACCUCUAUGUACCACGCCAACUGACUUACGAACCUUGCCUUGACAUGCUCCGGAGCAUCAGACUUGGAUGCCUGGGAUAUGAACUUGUUUAGGGCCUUGGUCGGAACUAAAUGUUUUUCAGUGACUUGGAAGCAGUCCUUCUUGCUUGUUUUCCUUGUGGUAUAGAAAAACCCUAAAAUCAGUUCUUCAAUUGGACCAUUAGAAAGAACUUCGACUUCCGAAAGAACGAAGACAAUUUUGGCAACAAAUUGUUCUGUCCCAUAGAGAUGUGCACGCUCAUAAUCACGUCUGCAGAAUUCUGCAACGUAAUCCUUUGGAAAGCUUAGAGUGGCGUGGUAUGCUCCCGUACUUAUAUCAUCCUUCUCAUUUUCUCUAAAGUAGGUAGCUAAACAGAGGAUGUCAUUUGCGUUCAUGGAUGGGAAGUCCGCAUCAGUAACGAUCCGGGCAGUAGGCUUGUUCCAGAGGAUGUGGAAACGGAAGAGGGGGCAGUUAAGCUCAAACUUUACAAGUAUUUUUCUUCUGAAGCCUUCCACUUUGGUGAUUCUUUUCCUUGACCAGACUUCGUUGAGAGGUUGAGCAUGUGUGGAAUAAAAGGUUUUGAGUCUCUCUCUUUCAGUCCGGAUAGUCACUAGCGGAUCAUCUGAUGGGUGAAGCAGAGCAAACUUAAUGUAAAAUUUGUUGAAGGGGGAGAGAGGAAGAUCCAUCUUAUUGGAAUCAUAAGAAGAGAUGCCGCAGUACAUGCAAGGAAUUAUUUCCUCAGCCUUGAGAAUUCCUUCACGGCAAAGAGUAGAGAUGCCUCGCAUUGGCUCUGGAUUGUCUUUCAGGGCUUGGAUCUGAAUGUUGUCCUCUAGUGCCUUAUUGGUUUCUUCAUGCGACCAUCCAAAUUAUGAUUGAGGGGAGGUCCGGAAUGAAAGGAUUGUUUUUCAGCAGUCAUAGGCUUCUUUCCUUUGUCUCUUUGAAGUGCAUUGACAACCAUCUUAUUGUUUUUGUCAAUCAUGAAUUCCAGACUGGUAUUCGGAAAUGGUUCUUCCGGAAUAUCAUUUGGGAUCCGGAGAGGAGAGCCCUGAUCGAUCAGAGCGAUUUUUGGUUCCGGAGUGAGGGGAUGUACUGAGGGAGUGGCUCGGAAGGCCUUUGCAGUGAGGAGGGAUUUUGCUUUGGCCAAUUGAACUGCUUUUUGAAAAGCAUCUAGAAAAGUAGUUGGCCAGGAGGUUGCGGACCAAAUUCUCUUCUCUCCCUCAGAUAGAACUUUAGGAAAGAGUUUCUUAGGAGCUUCAAGGCAUAGAACUCCAUCUGUGAUGUACUUAUCUUCGUCACUGUCUUCUUCUUCAGCAGAAGAGUUUCCUAGAAGUCCGGACACGAUUUGGACUUCAUCAUCGGAAUCCAAGUCAUCAUCUCGGAGUUUGAGCUCUAAGGCAGGUUUCCAGGGUUUACUUGGUCCUUCUCCCACUCUUGCAUCAUGUGACCUUGGAACCGGUGCAAGUAUGAUGGAAUCCUUGAGCUCUUCAAAUUUUGAGAAGACUUUUUGAAGGCCAGUGUUGAGCUGAAGAGUGAGGGUGUCAUAUGCUUCAGAUGUUGGGGCUUGAGCAGCACGGUGUUUGAACAUGUCACCGAGGAUGGAUAUCAUCUCAUCAAACUUCUGGUUCGGAACAUGAACGAUGUUCCAAGAUGAGCGAAGAAGUUUGAUAAGGACUUGUUGACUUAUCAUGUUCAUCUCAUCCUUCUGUUUGAUCUCCUUCUCCAACCUUUGAAUUUGUUUCUCAUGACAAAUGUGGGUCUGCUUGAUUAGGUCGUUGGUAGUAGCCACCAAGUCGUCAUGGACCUUCAGCAUGGAAGUGAUUGUGUUGAGAUAGUUAUCGACCAGAAUGUCGUAUUUUGAGUCCACUUCUUCCAUUGUUUGUUUGAGCCGGAGAGAGAUCAGCUGAUCCAGUUGAGCUUCUCUCUCAGCAACAAAUGGUCCGAAAUGUUGAGAAAGAGAUUGAAGAAUGACAUCAAGCUUGGAAUCAAGUCCAGAGACUUUUUGAUCCAUCUUCGUAUUUAGCUUAGUGACAGAAGUUUCAAUGGAGGCCACUUUUUGAAUGGUGUCAGAGACAUUAGUUUGGAUCUCGAGGAGUGCGAAGGGGUCUAUGUAGUCACCAAUGGAGGAUUCGGAAUCAGAAUCCAAGUUGUUUGGAGGAGCUUGUGAGGAAACGUUUGCUGAAGGACCUGACUUUGUUGUUGCAUCAUCUUCAUGAUGUUUGGCAUUUGAACCUCCGUCCGGAGUGGUAGAAGAAGAGGAUCCGAAGUAACAUCAAAGCUUUCAUCCAAAACAUGAUUUCUCCGGUUAAGAAAUCUGUAAGCUUUCGAUUUUGAGGAGUACCCAAGGAAUAUGGCUUCAUCAGCUUUAGGUUGAAACUUGGUAAGCUGAUUUCAGUUGUUCUUGAUGAAGCACCUACAUCCGCAGACAUGUAGAAAUGAGAUUGUUGGCUUCCGACCAUUCAUUUCUUCGCACGGUGUCAUGUUGAGGCGUCGAUUGAUGAUACUCUGAUUUUGAGUGAAGGAAGCAGUAGGUACUGCUUCAGUCCAAAGGUAUAGUGGCAGAUUUGCAAAAUUCAACAUGGAUCGAGUAGCUUCAACAAGAGUUCUAUUUCGUCGUUCAACUACACCAUUUUGUUGUGGGGUAUAGGGAGCCAAGAAGUUGUAGUCAAUUCCUUUUUUAGUGAGGAACUUUUCAAUGGUGGAAUUAGUGAAUUCUGAGCCAUUGUCACUUCCAUUUCUCAUAACUGGGAGUUUGAUGACAACUUCCAUUCCCUUGAUAAAACUGAUGAGCUCUGAGGCUAUUUUGGAUUUCAACCGAAGGAAGAAGAGCCAAGUGAAUCAUGUAAAAUGUGACAUCCCCAAAAUCACGGCCAAAAAAGACCGGUUUGUUUAUGCUUUGUUUAAAAAUUAGAGUAACAUUUUAAAUAAAAGUGUUGCGGAAUUUUUCCCAAAACAAAAUAUGAUAAAGAUUUAUCAAAAGCAUUUCCAUAGAAAUGUAUUUCAUUAAAAGACUUGGGAUGUCAUCUUCAUACAGAUCAAAAGCAUAAACAGUACAAUAUAAGCCUUAUUACAUUAUUUCAUAAUGCCUAUAUCCGUAAUCCCUCGUCCAAACAUCAUAUAUAUGCUCAAGCGCCACUACCUAUAAUACAAGAAACUGAGUGGGUCAGGCUUGGGAGCCUGGUGAGCACAUAGGGUUUUCAACCCACAAUAAAUAAGUUAUUAGCUUUAUCAAACCAAACAAACCCAAUUACCUGUUCCCGUUAUCCACACUUUACGUCCCUAAAACAUCUAACACAAGGGACCUAGUCUAAGGACUAUCAUCGGGAUGGACACUACUGCUAAGGGGAUUCCUGAGCAAUAAUUGUCCUUAAGGCAACCAUGUGGGGGAUGGAGUACAUCUGGUGAGCACACAGCUCAAAUAAACACACAGUUCGAAUAAACACCUACAGGUUGCGAGCCUGCUAGUGUUCCACUGGACUGUCUAGAAUAGUCUGUGGUCGUCAUCUAUACUCCGCUAGAUGACUGGGUCAUCAAUAACAUCUAUAACGAGGCCUCUCAUUAUUUUAUUUUGUCACACAACAACUAUUACAUCUACCCAUGUUAUACCCAACACAUUUUGUAGAUAUAAAAUACAUAUACAGUUAAAAUCAUUGAAAACAUGUAUAAAACGUUCAUCCAGCAUAGAUAGCAAGCAUUUCAGAUAAUAAGCACACAUAGCAUGUAAUUUAUAUAAAAUACUUCAUAUUUAUGUGUAAGCUGAAAGUAACUAUGCACUCACCUGAAAGGUGGUGACUCAACAUUCGGACAGCGCUUCGAUACUCUCAAAACGAUAUUCCUUCGAUAAAACCUAGUAUCGAUACCACUAGGGUUUAGUCUAACGAUAACCGCGACAAAUUAAUUGUCUGACUAUUAUUAUUAUUAUAUAACCGUUAAUAACACUCGAUAUAACUCAUAAUAAUAGCCCAAAUAAUUAUUUUAAGGACCUAAUAACAUUCCUAUAAUUAUUUGAAAGCUAUAUUAAAAAUUGCGUAAGCGUAGCACACUUACAGCGAAUUUUAUCGAAAACCGGAACUUAAUUGGAGCAGCGUUUCAAAACCGAAAGGCUCUUUUUCUCGGGACUCCGGGAGCCUCGGGGCUUUCCUCGGAAGCUAAGGGGUUUAACUAGGGCUUAGGGGACUCAAAAGGGGUUAGAGAGAGAAAGUAGUUUAGAGAGAGAAGUGAAAAAGUGUGAAAAAUCCGGAAGAAUUCGUAUGGUAUUUAUUGGGACCGAAGUUUGGAUUUACGUUGGGUGUACCGAGGGUACGCUCGGCGUACUCCUCGGAUAAGACCACGAGCUUGGACCCAGCUGUCUUGCACUCAAUCGGUUGGAUCAGAUCGGACCUACGCGGGGCAUAACCUCUUCGGGUGCGGGGCGUACUGCGAAGCGACGUGUCGUAAAUCUGAAGCGAAGCGUGAGCAGCAAGCGACGACCCUGAUUGAGCCACGUCAUCACCCUCGCAACAGAUUUCGCAAACUCACUUUCCGACCUCUAAAAAAUAUAACUUUCGCAUACGAGCUCCGUUUUCGACGUUCUUUAUAUCCACGCGAAGUUGGGAACGUACUCUACAACUUUCAUUUAAACACCAUUGGCUAAUUUUGAUUCGAUUUUAAAUUUUAUAUUAUUAACAGACCGGGACAGGAUUGGUCCGUUAAAUCCUCAUAACUUGUUCAUUUGACGUCCGUUUUCGCCCAUCUUUUUCUUGUUAUGCUACUCUUAACGAGAUCUUCGAUUCUCGUUUAGGUCGUGUUGGCUAAAAACCGCUCGAUCUAAUAUUCGAAUUUCGGGCUGUACACUACUAACACGAAACUUCGAAAAAUCAUAAAUUCUUCAUACGAAGUCAGAUUUGGGCGUUCUUUUUAUCGAUGUUCUCAGUUUAACAUAUUCUACGACUUUCGUUUAGAUCGCUAAGGCUAAAUCUCGCUCUAUCGUAAAUUCACUAUUUACGCUUUCCAGUAUCGUGCUGGUUCUGUCGCGAAACUUCGACGGGUCAUAACUUCUUCGUUAUAACUCGGAUUUUGGCGUUCCUUAUAUCCCCGAAAUCCUUGUUUGGACCACUACAACUUUAUGUAAAAAUAUCGAACUUAUCUCACACUUUAAUUUUGACGCUUAUUUUUAUUCUUUAUUACUUAUACAUUUAUAAUUAAUAAUAAGCACAUAAACACACAUAAUUCACAUAAUACUCAAAUAUUUCAUCUUUAUUACUUCAAAAAGAGUUAAAAGAGUUGACCUAGACUAUUACAUUGACAAAAAUGCUUAGCACUGAAACCCGGGCGUUACAUAAAAUCAUUAACAACCACAAGAAUUUAUUUAUUUUGAUGAAGACUUUCUACAAUGGACGGUCCACAAAGAUCAAUGUGUAGAAGCUCCAAUGGUUCCAAAAUGGAUUUUUCAAUGAUAACAGGAUGAACCUUCUUUGAUUGUUUACCGCACUCACAAGCAUCACACAAAUGGUCAUUUUCGAAUUUGAGUAAAGGUAAACCUCUAACCAUUUUGCCAGAUACAAGAUCAUUCAUGUACCGAAAAUUUAGAUGAGCGAGCCUUCGGUGCCAUAACUGUUGGGUUUUGAGCAUUCUAACACUCCUAAGUGUACAUACAAUCCUAAAUACCUUGGAUCUAUGUUUUCUCUAUUAUACAUGCAAAUACGAACUUUCCAAGGUAUUCAUCCUAAUUAGCAUAAUAACAUUGAUUCAUAUGAAUAUAUCAAGUUAGAAUUACAUACCUCUUUGAUGUAGAAUGUCUUCAUGAAGCUUGAGUGCCUAGUGCCCCAUGUAUGACACCUCAAAUGGUUCACACAACAUCAUAUGCACUUGGAAAGACUUGAGAGAAUAUAGACACUUCAUGAAAAUCGGCUAGCCCUUUCUCUCACACAUAGUGGCCAAUUUUUCCCAAGAAUAUGAUCUUUAUAUAGUGUCACAAUUAGGGUAAACCCUAAUUGUCAUGGAUUUCCAUUUCCUAGGAUCCAUGGGUUCAAAUACACCAUGGAUCAUCCAUGGAACAUCCUAUGGGUUUUAGCCCAACUUGAUAAUCCAUGGAGCAUUAGCCCACUAUACAAGUAUGGAUGAUUUACACAAUCAACCCAUAUAUUUAAUUAGUCUUCUUUUGAUCACUUAAUUAAUUCUAGAUUAAUUCUUGAUCAAUACUAAUUAAAUAAUCUCAUUAGUAUAUUAGAACUCAUAAUAUAUUAAUCAACCUCAAGUGUUAUUUCUCUCAUUAUAGUCUAUCCAAAUGCAUGAUGUCGUUCAACCUAAAUGGACCAUGCUGGGUCGGGUCAAGUCUUACCAAUUAUAGUUAUGGACUUAGGCAUUAAUCCAACAGUCUUCCACUUAGAUAAGUCUAAAAAUAUUAUUGCAAGUAUGACUUCAAGAACCGACUGGCAAUCGUAGCUCUCAAAAGCUUCUGUCGAACUCUGACCAUGCCGAUGAUCUCUGACCAUUGUCAAUGACUUGUCCAUUAGAUAAGGGAUCAUAUAUUCCUCCAUUCUAGAUAUCAUAUGGACUGAGACAUGGAUUAUAAUCAUUCUCUCUGUCCAUUUGUUGUUUCCCGAUUUCCGAUUUAUGACGACUGACUAAUUGAACAAAUCAAAUCAGUCCUGGCCCGGCCGAGCACUUCCAUUUGUCAUCAUCAAAUCAUCGAGGGGCCCACAGAUAUCGCUUUUAUCCCGAAGGUAAAAGGAAUGGAUAAACUUCGACUCAUAUGGCUUGUUCUACUACUUGUUGAAUCAUACACAAAGGCACGUUUUAUAACAUCGAGUUACCAAUGCAUUUUCGUGCAAUCAAUGUAUAACCAACUCAUAGUAACAACUCACAUCUCUAGGUUUGAAGAGUAUAAGAUAUUAUCGUCUCAUGAUCACUCAUGAUAAUAUCCAUGAAGUGAUUCAAAUGAGUGUGGGUUGAAUCCAAUACUCAGAACUUAUGAGCACUCAUGAAUGUUGUAGCACCUCUUGGAUAUGUCCCAUACCUUGGACAUUUACAAACUCAAUUGAUGACAGUCUUUCCUUAAUACCUACUUCCAACGUAUUAUCGACUGUGGAUGGUUUGAAUAACUUAGUCAUUCAGAACAAUGACCUAAUUAUUCUGGAAUUCAAAACAUGCAAAGUGAAACACAAUAAUAAUCGAAUCCAAUGUGGUCUUAGAACUUAUGAAUAUAAAUAAAACACCUUUUAUUUAUCACCAUAUGAUUACACAUUAUUCAUUGUAUACUGUUUCAGAUUAUCAACUUUAUACUUGAAUUAAAACAGUUUGUCCCAUGCUCUAAGCAUGUACACUAUGUUUUCUAAACACUAGUCAUGCCACACACCAAGUAUGCAUAGUAUGUUUGUCUAUGAUCUUUACUUUGUGAAAUAGAUCAACAGAACAUAACUCCAAUGAUUCUCAUUUCACAGUCCCAAUUCCUUACUACAAGUGCAAGAAUUCCAAAUUCAUGCCAUUUACUGAAAUCUGUUAGAUUGUAAACUUAUAUGCAUCAAUCCUCUUGUAAUGAUUAUGCACAAAGUCACAAAGACUUGACAACAAACAUUAUAGAGCAUUCCAAAGGAGAUCAACUCCUUGCAAACAUCCUUCUUGCAUUAAGUUUCCUAAUCUUACACAUAUUUAUUGAAGAACUUCCACCUAUGGGAUCAUUUCUGAACAAGAAUUGCCCUUUUUUUCAGAAUAUGUCAAUAUGGUCCUUCCAACAAUUGCUUAAUCCUUAUAGUCAUAUCCAAUUCUAGGCCUUUUCCCUUCUUAAUGCUCUGAGAAUUUUGAAAAAGUUUAGAAAGGAUGAAUAUUAUAGCACAUGUAGUCGAUCCUAUAUCUGAAGCAUAUGGGACACGAUUCAUGAUGCUUCACAUAAAGACAUGAUAAUAGACCAGUCUUUUGCUAUAAUAUUUCUAUUUCUAUUUGUCAAGUUCUCAUAAUUCAGAUUAUGAAAAGGGAUGUCGUAAUCAUAAUCGAAUUUCAGAACGCAAAUAAUGGACCCAUAUAUAGAACUUCUUUAUGUUGAGCCAAUCCAACAUUAAAUUCAUAUAUAUAUAUAUAUAUNNNNNNNNNNNNNNNNNNNNNNNNNNNNNNNNNNNNNNNNNNNNNNNNNNNNNNNNNNNNNNNNNNNNNNNNNNNNNNNNNNNNNNNNNNNNNNNNNNNNNNNNNNNNNNNNNNNNNNNNNNNNNNNNNNNNNNNNNNNNNNNNNNNNNNNNNNNNNNNNNNNNNNNNNNNNNNNNNNNNNNNNNNNNNNNNNNNNNNNNNNNNNNNNNNNNNNNNNNNNNNNNNNNNNNNNNNNNNNNNNNNNNNNNNNNNNNNNNNNNNNNNNNNNNNNNNNNNNNNNNNNNNNNNNNNNNNNNNNNNNNNNNNNNNNNNNNNNNNNNNNNNNNNNNNNNNNNNNNNNNNNNNNNNNNNNNNNNNNNNNNNNNNNNNNNNNNNNNNNNNNNNNNNNNNNNNNNNNNNNNNNNNNNNNNNNNNNNNNNNNNNNNNNNNNNNNNNNNNNNNNNNNNNNNNNNNNNNNNNNNNNNNNNNNNNNNNNNNNNNNNNNNNNNNNNNNNNNNNNNNNNNNNNNNNNNNNNNNNNNNNNNNNNNNNNNNNNNNNNNNNNNNNNNNNNNNNNNNNNNNNNNNNNNNNNNNNNNNNNNNNNNNNNNNNNNNNNNNNNNNNNNNNNNNNNNNNNNNNNNNNNNNNNNNNNNNNNNNNNNNNNNNNNNNNNNNNNNNNNNNNNNNNNNNNNNNNNNNNNNNNNNNNNNNNNNNNNNNNNNNNNNNNNNNNNNNNNNNNNNNNNNNNNNNNNNNNNNNNNNNNNNNNNNNNNNNNNNNNNNNNNNNNNNNNNNNNNNNNNNNNNNNNNNNNNNNNNNNNNNNNNNNNNNNNNNNNNNNNNNNNNNNNNNNNNNNNNNNNNNNNNNNNNNNNNNNNNNNNNNNNNNNNNNNNNNNNNNNNNNNNNNNNNNNNNNNNNNNNNNNNNNNNNNNNNNNNNNNNNNNNNNNNNNNNNNNNNNNNNNNNNNNNNNNNNNNNNNNNNNNNNNNNNNNNNNNNNNNNNNNNNNNNNNNNNNNNNNNNNNNNNNNNNNNNNNNNNNNNNNNNNNNNNNNNNNNNNNNNNNNNNNNNNNNNNNNNNNNNNNNNNNNNNNNNNNNNNNNNNNNNNNNNNNNNNNNNNNNNNNNNNNNNNNNNNNNNNNNNNNNNNNNNNNNNNNNNNNNNNNNNNNNNNNNNNNNNNNNNNNNNNNNNNNNNNNNNNNNNNNNNNNNNNNNNNNNAUAUACAGAAUUUCCUUAUGUUGAGCCAUUCCAACAUGAAAUUCAUAUAUAUCCUUGACUAAAUGAUUAAAACCUCACGAUCUAAGCUUAUAGAUUUGAGAUGAAGUAUAAUUUCCUCUCCCUUAAUUAUAGCAAAACAACUUUUUCCCAAUUGAAACUUUUGUUUUCUAUAAUUAACAUUGCUAACUUGCAAUACUUACCAUAAUUAUCAUGCUCCCACUAGCAUGAUGAUUAUUAACAUAAUACUUAUGCUUCCACUAGCUUUGACAUGUAUCCAGAAAACUUCUGGACAUGUAGAAGUCAAUACUUUAUUGACAUUCUUACCAAAGUUCAGAUUUCUGAUACUAGAUUGCUUUGAUAAGACUUUAUAAAAAUCAUACACCUUAUCUUAGAUAGCUCAAAAUUGUGUCUAAACAAUUUCAGAACUAUGAAAAGGGAUGUCGUAAUCAUAGUCUCAAUUGUUUAGACCUGUGCUAUUUGCUUCAAAUCUUCUUGGUGGAAGUGUUUCCUCACCAUCAUUUUCAUGAAUCGGAGAGAAACCUUAUGACACUUAUAUUUAUUGGUGUAUGUGUUCUUAUCCAUGUGAAUUGUCAAAACCAUAGUCCCAAGACAAGGAUAAUGACAAAUCCAAACUCAUAUGGACUGAACUCAAUCUUAAUUUCUUGCCAUCUGGCAGCUCAAGGGCCUGCCAUUGCUUCCAAGUUGUUGUGCAACCAAUUGAGAACUCUAAGAACUCAUAUGCAAAGCCAACUUUAACUGGAAUGGGCACAGAAUAUGUCAACACGAUAGGUUAUAAACCUAAAGUCGUGUGCUAGUGAAGAAUUUCAAGUUUUAUUCUUGAUUAGUUCUUGAGACUUUCAAGACCUUUAAAACUCCCACUGUCCUCCUGACAUAUAAGACUCUCUUGUCAAAUAUUCAAGAGAUAGUGUGGAUUCUUUAUCAAGAUAAACACUUCACACAAUUGGCCUUAGUGGGUCUUUGUUUUAUCCAAAACAUCACAACUUACCAGUUUCAAAUGUACAAGAGUAGAACACAUUUUACUCUUAUAUUUGACAAGUGUUAAAAAAAACCUUCUUUAAGGUAUGUCACUCAAGUUACACUCUUAGAGUAUAACUCUAAGAAUUGUUUUUGGAACGAAGUAUGAAUCAUCUUCUUGAUUUAACCACUUCAACAAUUCAUAAAUCCUCUUCUUAACUAUCAGAAUGCACUUAGAGGAUGAAUUGUGAUAAGGUCUCAAAAUCAUUAAGAUGGUCUUAAAACAUGAUACUAAAGUACUCUCCCAUCUUUUUCGGAUUUGAGAAACUUUUAUCUUUCUACCUAAGUUUAUUCUUCUUAUUCACUCUGCCAUACAUUGGAACCUUUUCCAAUGUCUCAGAAUUACACUUAACCUUUUCCAAUGUCUUAUCGAUCUUUUGUGGUGGACUUAACCAGUGCACAAGAAUGUGUACUCAAUCCCUUAGUCCUUUACUUGAAUCACACAUCCAUGUGAACAAGUAGUUAGUCUUAAUUUUUCCAAUGCUUGAAUGUUCUCAUCCAUCAUGCUAUACAACUUGGAUGAUUCCAAGUUUCGGUCCAAUUGAAACCUUGGGUGACGAGAAUAUUUCCUUAUUUGGUAAAUUUAGACAUUACCACAAAUGAGAGAGAGCUUUACUGGAUAUCCAAUGUCAUCAUUGUCAAUGUCCAUAAAGUUUUAGGAAGUUGAUCUUAGCAAAUAGAUAAGAUCAUUAAGGGUCUUCUCAUAUUCUGUUUCAUAGGAGUCCCAAAGGAACUCACUAUGUGACUUAGAAAGUGAUUGAACCACCAACUUUCUCAAGACUUUGACACCUAACUCUCUCGGCUUGUCAAUAUGUGACUACAUAUCCAAGAUGUUAUCACACAUAGACCUUUGCUUGCCAAUAGGGCUUGAGUGACCUUAAACUUUUCAAGAACUUGUGGAUUAGGGUGAAUAAUUGGAGGAGGUGAAAGAAGUAUGAUUUCCAUGGGACAUCAUCGUCAUUUAGGAAAGCUUGUAUCAAGAGAUUUUGGAAGAUCAUAAAUGUCUAAACCAGACAUCUUUCGGGAGAUAUUCAAAUAGUUGAUUUAAAGUCCCUUAUAUAACACCCAAUAUGAAAUAUUAAGGCUAGGACCUAACACAAUACUUUUAUAACUUGGAAGAGGGAUGUCGUAAUCCAAGCUAUAAAAUAUUUGAAGGUAGGUGAAUGACGAUUCACCAAUUUUCACCAAGAUAAA